ACGCCUUCAGCUUUUUGAUAUUAUGCAUAGCAAAAAAGAUAGAUCUCCUAUGACAUUCGAAGCUGGAGAAAUUAUGAUAUAUUUACUUAAUAAAAUUUGAUUUAUUAUAAAUAUUUAUAAUGUUUAAUUAUAAUGGUUUAAUUCAUCAUUAGUAGUUUUAAAUAAUGUUAAGUUAUGUUGCAUUCCUUUUUAUUAUAUAUUUUGUUUCUAACUCUUUAAUUGAUUUUUUAGGAGAAACUAAAGGAGAAGAAGGCGGAGUAUGAAGCGAUUGCUUCAACUGAUAGUUCUGUUAAUCUUAAGAACAUUGAUAAUAGAAUUAUCACUGAUGUUUUGGGUCCUGAAAGGUCGGUCGGGUUCAAUUUCAAGGAUCUGGUGUUACCUCGACCCAAUAUUUUAGAUCCGGCUCCCAACAAUACAUGCCUUUUGGGAUUCAAGCUCAAGCUGAAGUUCAGAGGUUAAGAGACCAGAUAGCUUAGAUGCAAGUGAACACGGUUGAGUAAAUUGUCGAGGUUCAAAGAAAAUAUGAAGAACUCCAACAACAACUUAGAGCGGAGGCAGCAGAGAGGGAGGCAGCGGUGGCAGCGAUGAAGGCAGAGGCAGCAGCGAUGGCAGUAGAGCAAAGCAAAACGUACGAUGAACUCCAGCUACAACUUCAGUAAAUGAUGCAGAUGUUACAGCAGUCGCAAAAGCCACCAUCUUAGACAUUAGUUUUCUCCUUGUAAGAAUGUUUUUAACAUUGUCACAUUUAACAUUAUUGUAAGAAUAUUACUUAAUUUAUUAAUUAUAUCAUAGAUCUUUCGUUGAAUUUGAAGUAUCAUUUAGAUUUAAUGUUUUUUAUUGUAUUUUUAUGCUACAUUUGUUGUUUUUGGUUGGAUUUCAUGCUAUAUUUACUGUUUUUGGUUGGAUUUAAUGCAAGAAGGGUUGGAUAUUGGUGAAAAAUGUACAUUUCAAAUCUGCUAAAAUUAGCGGCCUUUGUGAAAAAAGCGCUGCUAAAAGUCAUGGCUUUUAGUGGCGCUUUCCCAAAAAAUGCCGCUAAAAGUCAUGGCUUUUAGCAGCGCUUUUCUCACAAACGCCGCUAAAAGUUAUUGCCUUUAGCGGCACUUCCCCAACAAACGCCGCUAAAAGCCCUUUAGCGGCGCUUCCCCAACAAAAGCCUUUAAAAGCCCUUUAGCGGCGCUUCCCCAACAAACGCCGCUAAAGGUCAUGACUUUUAGCGGCGCUUUUCUCACAAACGCCGCUAAAAGUCUUGAUCUUUUGUUGCGUUUUUUUUUUCAAAUAAACGCUGCAAAAUUUGGUGGCGGUUCCUAUAGAGGUAUUUUUUGCAGCGCUUGGGAAAAACGCCGCUAAUAGUUUCUGUGGCGCUUAAAAGCGCCGUUAAAGGCUAAAAAAAUGCUGCUAAAAGUUUGUUUUCUUGUAGUGAUUCUAAGUGGUUCAACGGAUAAUUUAACGAGUAUGUCAAAGAAGAGAAAGAGCAUGUAUGUUUUACGAAUUUGUACAGGUAUGUACAUAAAGUUUAUAAGCAUUGACUUCAUGAUAUUGUGAGUUUAUGGUUUCUAUGAGAAUAUUUUUGUGAAAAGUCUUGUGAUUAUUGAUCUAUACUUGUGAUGUACGAAAUAUAUGGUAAGUUCGGUUGGCGAUCGUGUAAUUGGCUUUUGGGCCAAAUUGAGUUAUGAUCUAGCAUGUUUUAUUCGCAUGAACUGUGAUUCAUCAGAUAUGAGAAAGAGGAAAGAUUGACGUAAUUGCCUAUUAAAAUGAUUAUGGGAAGAUAUGAGCUUUGGACAAUUGAAAGAUGUUAAAAUAAUGCUUGAAAUGUGAAUACUCAUUAUUAAUGUGCAUGUUAUUAUGAGGUUUGAAAUGAUUGGUUGAUUGCGGUAAUCUGUUAUAAUGGAAAGAUUACCAUUAUUAGGCUAAUGCCAAAAUUUGUUAAAUUAUGCUUAUAAGUUGAUAGAGUAAACAUCAUGAUUGAAUAAAAUUAUAACUAUGAGAUUUAUAGCAAUUGGAAUUAUUUUGUGUUUAAAUUGUUGAACUUGAUAAAUUCCUAAUAAGAGUUGCUUAUUAUUUUCAUGUGGACUUACUAAGCUAUAUAGCUUAUCCCCUUCCUUUCCUAUGUUUUAUAAUGUCGUCAAGCUAGCUUGGGUUGGAGAUCGCUGGAGAUCCUAUCACACUAUCAAGCUAUCAAUUUUGGGUAUUGAUGAAUUCAAGUAUUUUGAGUUUAUGGCAUGUACAAGUACUUGGUCUUUUAGGUCAUAUGUGCCAUUAUGACUUUAGCCAAUGUAUUGACUUGUAAGAGUCAAAGGUUUGUUUUGAUAUUUGACCAUGUAAAUUGGCUUAUUUGGCUAACAUGGUUGUAAGCCUAAGUAUAUUCAUAUGUAUGUCAAUGCCUUUGGUGAUAUGAUCAUGGUAUGCAUAGUGAAUGUGAAUUGUUUGGAAAUGUGAUUUAUGACAUGAAUGUGAAUGUUUAGUAAUGUGGUCUAUUGAUGGGAUGAUAAAUUUGUGUGUACAAUAAGGUAACUAGAAAGUAGCUAAAUGAAGCCUAAUGAAGGUGAAAUUGACAUGAAUGAUUUAUGGCAUGAUAAAUGUUAUGUGUAUGAUAAAUGUUGAUAUGGUAUUGGUAUGUGAUGUUCAUAAUUUUGAAUGGUUUGGUUGAUCUUACAUGCUUGAAUUUGUGCCAUGUGAUGUUGUGUAGAUGUGUGCAAGUGAGGAUGGCAAAAUGGCUUGGUAAAUAGCCUUAUUUUUGUCUACACGGGCGUGUGUAUAAGCCGUUUGUGACACAUGAUUAGCCCCAUGGGUGUGUGAUCCGGCCGUGUGUCCCCUACACAUAAAUUGUUGCAAAAUAAAAUGCUCAAUAUCGAGCACACGAGCAUGAGACACAGCUGUGUGUCUCAGCCGUGUGAAGGACACGGCCACGGGACACGGACGUGUGUCUUGGCCGUAUGACUUUAAUUUGUUCUUGGAUGACAAACAGAGAGUUACACGGGUUAGGGACACAAGCGUGUGUGACCACAUGGUCUGCCCACACGGGCGUGUCCCAAGCCACACGAACAUAAAAAAUUUUCUAAGUGUUGUAAAAUUUUCCAAAGUUUUCGGUUUAGUCCUAAACCACUUCCAAUAUAUGUUUGGGGCAUCGUAUGCUCGUUCCAGGGACGAUAUGAGUGUAAAUGAAAAGUUUUAAAUUUGGAUGGAAGUUUAUGUCUUGAUUUUGUAUGUUUGCUUACGUUUAAGUCUAGUAAUACCUCGUACCCUGUUCUGGCUUCGAAUACGGGUAAGGGGUGUUACAAAUCGCGUGGAGCGUCAAAGUAAAAACUGAGAGAGAGGCAAGAAUUAGAGAGGGGCACCAGUUCUAUUUGUAAAGAAAAAGGAUAGUACCAUAAGGAUGUGCAUCGAUUAUCGACAGUUGAAUAUGUUAACUUUGAAGAAUAAGUACCCACUUCCGAGGAUCGAUGAUCUGUUUGAUCAGUUUUUUGGGGUUGCUAUAUUCUCGAAAAUAGAUCUCUAAUCUGGGUAUCAUCAGCUUAGGGUUAAGGAAGCUAAUAUUCAGAAGACGAAUUUUAGGACUCAUUAUGGGCACUAAGAGUUUCUAGUUAUGCCUUUCGAUUUGACGAAUGCUCUGGCUACAUUCUUAGAUCUGAUGAACUGAGUUUUUAAGCUAUAUCUGUAUCAAUUCGUCGUCGUCUUCAUGACGAUAUUCUAGUGUACUCUAAGACUGAGGUUGAGCAUGAUGAGCAUUUUAAAGUUUCGAGCGAAGCAGCUCUAUGCUAAGUUGAGCAAAUGUGAAUUCUGGUUACGGGAAGUAAUAUUUUUGGGGCACAUAGUUUUUGUGGAAGGGAUUCGCGUUGAUACUAGGAAGAUUGAGGUUGUGCUUAAUUGGAAACAAUCUAAGAACAUUUUUGAGAUCCAUAGUUUUUUGGUUCUUGCGGGUUACUAUCGGAGGUUUGUUGAGGGGUUCCCACUGAUUGUAGCUUCUCUAACUAAUCUUCUACGCAAGAAUGUUCCUUUCGUCUGGACUGAUGUGUAACAUUGAGCUUCGAGAAGCUCAAGUUUGUUUUGACUCAGAUUCCUGUUUUGAGACAGCCUAAAUAUGGUAAGGAGUUUAUAGUGUACUGUGAUGCAUCGCAUGUCAUUCUAGAGUGUGUACUAAUGCAAGAUGGUAAGGUUGUGGCUUAUGCGUCCUGGCAGCUGAAGUCACACGAAAGAAAUUAUCUGACGCAUGAUCUCGAGUUAGCUGCAAUGGUGUUUGUGUUAAAGAUCUAGAGGUACUAUCUGUAUGGUGAGAGGUGUAUUAUCUACACCGAUCACAAAAGCAUAAAGUACCUCCUUACUCAAAAGGAGUUGAGUCUUAGGCAGCGUCGAUGGAUUGAGCUACUCAAAGGUUAUGACUACACGAUAGAGUAUUAUCCCGAUAAGGCCAAUACAGUGGCUGAUGCCCUUAAUCAUAGAGCGAUGACUGAUUUGAGGGCAAUGUUCGCUCGUCUCAGUUUGUUUGAUGAUGGGGUCUGUUAGCCGAGUUGCAAGUUAAGCCGACUUGGAUUGGACAGAUUCGAGAAAUACAGUUAGGGGAUGAGUCUCUGAGUCUGCGAUUUCGUUAGGUUGAAAGUGAUAGUACAUCUGAUUUUGGAUUGAAUAAAGAUGGAGUUCUAUGUUUCCGAGGACGAGUUUGUGUACUAAACAAUUUUGAUUUGAGACAAUCGAUUUUGAGGGAGGCGUAUAGUAGCCUUUAUGUUAUCCAUCCCGGUGGUAAUAAGAUGUAUCGGGAUCUCUGUGAACUGUACUAGUGGCUGGGUUUGAAACGAGAGCUAACGAAUUUUGUUGCUCAUUGUUUGAUGUGCCAGCAAGUUAAGGCUGAGCAUCAAUUACCUUCGGGUUUGCUCCAACGCAUCAAAAUUCCCUUAUGGAAAUGGGAACGUGUGACGAUGGACUUCGUUAGUGGGCUGCCUUUAACAUCCACUAAGAGGGAUACUGUUUGGGUCAUCAUGGAUCGAUUGACCAAGUCCGCUCAUUUUAUUUCGGUUCGAACGAACUACUUUCUACACAAGAUAGCGAAGCUCUACAUUUCUGAUAUUGUAAUACUGCACAGGGUUUCGAUUUCGAUAAUAUUUGAUAGGGAUCCUCACUUCACUUCUCAAUUUUGGAAGAAACUGCAUGAAGCUCUAGGGUUGAGAUUGGACUUCAGUACUUCGUUCCAUCCUCAGAUCGAUAGUCAAUCUGAGAAAGUGAUUCAGAUACUGGAGGAUAUGCUUCGGAGUUGUGUGAUUGAUUUUUGAGGUAGUUGGGAAGAUUUUUUGCUUUUAGCUGAGUUUGCCUACAAUAAUAGUUUCCGAUCUAGUAUCUAGAUGGCACCUUACGAGGCUUAGUGUCGUACUUCACUAUGCUAGACUGAGUUAGGUGAACGAUGGGUUUUGGGUCCUGAAUUGAUUUCUGAGACUGAAGAUGAAGUAAGAUUGAUACGGGAUUAUCUUAAGACAGCUUCUAGUAAACAUAAGUCUUAUGCGAAUUUGAUAGGGAGGGAUAUUGAGUACUCUGUGGGUGAUUUCGUAUUUCUUAAGAUAUCUCGUUGGAAGAAAAUUCUAAGGUUCGGUUGUUAGGGCAAGUUGAGCCCUAAGUUCAUUGGGUCGUAUCAGAUUCUGAAGCGUGCAAGACCAGUUGCUUAUCAGUUAGAGCUACCUCUAGGGUUAGAUCGUAUCCAUGAUGUAUUUUACAUCUCGAUGUUGAGACGGUAUCAAUCUGGUCUAUUUUACGUUGUCUCUAUUGAAGAGAUCGAGGUUAGACCGGACUUAACGUUUGAGGAAGAGCCGAUUCAAAUUUUGGAUCGAGAUAUUAACGUUCUGAGGAGGAAGUCCAUACCGUUAGUGAAGGUUUUGUGGCAGAAUCAUAGCACCGAGGAGGCCACGUAGGAAGUUGAGGACACGAUGUGUCAACAGUAUACCCAUAUGUUCAGAUCAGGUAAAUUAUGAGGCCAAAAUUUCUUUUAGGGGGUAGAGUUGUAACGCCCUGAAUAAUAUGUCUGUUUUUGUAAAAUUUGACAUAAAUAUGUAUCUGCUUCACUGGCUAAGUGUUUUAAUUGUGUGUUUGAGGUAUUGGGUUCAAGUCCGACAUUCAGAAAAUUUUGUUAUUUUUUAUCCAAGCCUUAUCCCUAUUGGGUGGGCUUAUAUAAUAUUGUUUGUAAACUCAUAUCAGAGUGAGCCUGUUGGAUCGAGUGGUAAGGAGUUAGCUUGCCUAAGGUCUCGUGUUUGAAUCCUCGUGCGAGUGUGGAUGUAAAUUUUUGUCUUGGCUGUUUGACAGAGUUUCGGUGGGCUUGGAAUUCUGAAAUGGUUGGUUUGGGUUAGUGUAGUAGUGGGGAGUGAGAGAGAUUUUAAGGGUGUGUUAUAAAAAAAUUAAUUUCAGUUAAAAAUCUUUUAUUUUCUUCCCCCCCAAAAAAAACUCUCUCUUUCUGACGUUACUAUACUCUUCUUCUGUCAAUUUUUCCUUCUUUAUUCCUUUUUAAUUCCUGUCGAAAUUUCCUCUUCUAAUCUCAGUGUUUUACUUUUUUUUUUGUCGUACGAUUUUGAAGGUAAGGGUUCGUCGUGGUGUUGUGGGGGUCUUAAUUUUUUUACUUUUGUUCUUGUUGAUGUUUGAGUUAAUCCGGUAUAUCGUUUUGGUAGGUGCUCUUCAGGAAAACUGAGACCCUUCAGUUGUGUAGUGAAGUUUCGAGGCUGCUAUUGUCAAGAGUAAGCUUUUGGAUCGUUUUAGUGCAAUUUUCUAUUGUGUUUUUCAAGUUGUGCCCAAGAGGUGUCUCGGUUGGAUUUGUGAAUUAAAGUUAAUUAUGGCUGUUUUGGUUGGCAAUUUUAGGUGCUGUUCACUCCAGGGAUGUAAUGUAACACCCCUUACCCAUAUUUAACGCCAGAAUAGGGUACGAGGCAUUAUCGGACUUACAUUGCAACCGAACAUACAAAUCGAGUCAAAAAUUUGGACCCAAAUUAAAACCAUUUGUAUUCAAUCAUAAAGUCCCUAAUACGAGCCUACGAGGCCCAAAACAUGUUUCGAAAGUGGUUCGGGACUACAUCGAUAACUCAGGAAAUUUUCACAAAACUUAGAAAUUUUUUGCCAUGUACAGGGGUCACACGCCCGUGUGGUUUGGGACACGCCCGUGUGGUUUGGGACACGCCCGUGUGGUCACACACGCCCAUGUCCCUAACCUAUGUAACUCUCUAUUUUGCAAUGCAUGAACAAAUUGAAGUCACACGGCCGAGUCACACGCCCGUGUGCUAGGUCGUGUGGUUAAUUAAUUUUUCAUAAAAUAGAUGCAGACUUCAGACGGCUAGGACACACACCCAUGUUCGAGGCCAUGUCCCUCACAUGGUUGAGACACAUGCCUGUGUCUCUACCUGUGUGCUCAAUUCUGAGCAUUCUGUUUCUCAAAAUUAAGGUGUAGGGGACACAUGGCCAAAACACAUGCCCAUGGGACAGGCCGUCUGUAAGACACAUGGGCGUGUGUCUAUCUAUGUGGACAAAAUAAGGACUAUUUACCAAGCCAUUUUCCACCCUCAUUUUCACAUACAUAUACACAAAUUUAAUGACAUAAAUCAUGGUAUACUUAGGCAACCAAAACAUCUACAAUCAUGAGCAACACAUGUCAAUGCAAUACCUUUAUCUAUCAUGCUCAUGACAUUCCAUUAUGCCAAAUCAAACAUACCAAUUUCACAUUCAAAAACACCUCUAAGGCUACUUUCAAUUUGUAUUAACUUAUCAAGAUAAUCCAUCAUACCAAUAAACCAAACUCAUCCAUUCCACAACAAGUCAUUAAGCCACAAUCAACAUUUAGCAAAUCAAUAUAAACCAUAUCACCAAAGGGGCAUUGGCACAUACAUGUAUAUAUAUAUGAGCUUACAGACAAUUUAACCAAAAGGAGCCCAUUUACAUGGACAAAUACCAAAUCAAGCCCUUGACAAUUACAAGCUAAUACAUUUGGCCAAAAUCACGAUGACACAUAUAACAAAAUGACCAAUUCCCUAUACAUGCCAUACACUCAAAAUGUUUAAGAUCAUCGAUACCCAAAAUGACAGUUUGAUAGUGUGAUGCGAUCUCUGAGAAUUCUAAAUCCGAGCUAGCUUGGUGACACUAUAAACAUGGAAAGUAAAACAGAGUAAGCUAUAUAGCUUAGUAAGCUCGUAUGAAAGAAAUAAGAAAAUCUUACCAUACAUUUAACAUUCAAGUAAUAUAAUAUAAGGUAAUGUAAUUUACCAUAAUCUCAUGACUAUAAUUCAUUCCAUCACAGCUUACCUUGAAAUCUUCAUUUCUCGAAUUUAGUAAUAUAAGCUUUAGGUACAUACCUGUACCAUCUCGUAAUAAUUUCAUACUUAUUCUCAUUGUUGACAAACCCAAUGAACCACUCGAAAUAAUAAUAGCGGAUACUCGGGAAACCUUUCAUACAAGGUGUCACAUAUGUAGCCAUUGCUAUCUCUAUCUCAUAACACAUAUGCUCGCUCUCGAGCCACCAACGGGCCUUCUCACACAAGCUGUCAGUUAAGACGUAGCUACACGACACUGCUCACACAAGCUGUCAAGUAACUGCAACAUAUGCUGGUAUACUCAGCCACCGGUAAGACGUAUAGGACCAGCACCCGGAUCACAUAACAUAAUACCCUAGUGACAUGUCACUUGUAUCCUAAUCUAUUCUUAAGGUUCAAUUGGGAUUUCUCGCUUUCCAAAACGUCGCCGAACGUGUCCGCAGAUUCAUUUACACAAUUUACACAAAAUUAAAGCAUUUAAAAUACAAUUAUAACAAAGCUUAGUUACAUACAAACUUACCUCGGUUACAAAAACAGAAAAAAAAAGAUCUAUUCGUCAAUUACUUUGUUUUUCCCCCGAUCUAGAUCUGAACUUUAUUUUUCUUGAUCUAUAAUAGCACAUUUAACUCAUUUAAUCAUCAAGCUAUUCAAUUCAGCCCAAAAUCACAUUAUGGCAAAAAAUACAUUUUGCCCCUAAUAUUUCAACAUUUUACAAUUUAGUCCCUAGGCUCGUAAAAAUGAAUUUCUUUCAAUUUCUUUCCAACUCAAGCCUAGCCGAACCUUACCCUUACUCACAACAAACCAAAAUUUAAAUUUAUUCACACUCUACCACACAUAUUUUAACACUUUACAAAUAAGUCCCUAUUUGAUAUUUUUACUGAAAAUCACUUUACAAAUGUUGUUUAACAAACAACAAACAUGCAUUUUCUACCAUCAAACAUCAAAAUACAAGCAUUUUCAACAUGGAUAAAAUUUUAGACUUUAAAUAUAUUUCAGAUUAGUCCUUGAAAUAAAUAGAUCAAGUUACAGCGAUAUCAAAAGUAUAAAAAUCAUUAAAAAUGAGAUAAGAAUGGACUUACAAUUGAGCUUGAAAGCUUGGCCAAAAACCCUUGCUAUGUCUUCUCCUAAUUUCCGACUAUGGAGGAAGAAGAUGAACAAAAUUUUGGCCUUAUUUUACUUAUUAAUCCAUUUAAUGACCAAUUUACUAAAAUACCCUUAAUGAAAAAUAUUAAAAACAUACUUAACGAUGUCCAUAUUUGUCCACCAAUUUAAAAAAUGGUCUAAUUACCAUUUAAGGACCUCCAAUUUAAAAUUUUAUAGCAAUUUGAAACCUUUAAUAUAUAGAAUUUAAGUUUUGCACCUAUUGCAAUUUAGUCCUUCUAGUCAAAUUGAGUACUCAAUCAAUAAAAUUUCUUAACGAAAUUUUCACACAAUUAUUCUAUCGUGCUGUAGACCUUAAAAUAGUAAUAAAAUAAAUAUUUCCACUUUGAAUUUGUGGUCUCAAAACCACUAUUCUGAUUUAACCCUAAAAUGGGCUGUUACAUGUGAAUUCUUCCAAAACGAACCAGCUGUGUACCCUAAACACAAAAAACAAAGGUUCUGAAAAAGCUGAAAAAGGACACUAUCGACGGCACACAGUUGUGUGGUCGGCCGUGUGGGAGACACAGUUGUGUGAUUGUCGUAAGUGUGGUUGUGUGCAAGACACGGCUGUGUGACAGCGAAUGUGUGGCUGUGUGGGCCACAUAGGCUAGGCCGGAUUGGGCGUGUUGGUUUUGGGCCAGUCCAUGUUGGCCACACAGGCAAGGCCAAUUUGGGUGUGUGGGCCCAUACAGACAAACCACAAAGGCUUGUGGACCCAAAAUUCUAAAAUUUUCCCAAAGGUCGCACGAGUCGUUCCGAUCGACUGUGGACCUACUGUAGGGUCGAUAAGGGCCAAUCAAACCCUAUUUCAUGUGAUUUAAUAUUCUGAUAACUUGAUCUGAGUAGGAUGUUGAUAUGUAUGUCUGAUUGCACUGUUUAAGUUUGUAUGUUAUCCGUAUACGAGUGGGUUAAGCAUGUUAAAUCUAUUGUUUAUGUAUCCGUAUUUUGUGUCUGUGUUUGGGGUGAGAUUUGCAUAUGUGGAGGAAGUGAUCUGUAUGGUGACCUUUUGCCUAUUAUCUGAUAGCUUGGUUGUAUAUUAUCUAUUAUGUGUCAUAUCAACACUAUAUGGUAUGUAGAGUUGGGUGGGUGUUUUUAACCCCAUAUGGUGUGAUGGGAAGGACGGAGAUGGUGUGUAGAGGAUAGGGGUAAGAUUCUGUAUAUCUGUUCUGUACAUUUGAUUUUUAUAUUUGUAUCUAUUAAGGAUUUAGGUCCGAUUCUAUUUCUAUAGGCAUUUGAGAUUCUGUGAAUGUUGCAUGGCUAUAUCUAUUGGGUUACACACUGAGUUUACGAAAACUCACAUAUGUUUGUCUGUACUAUUCAAGUAAUCCACAAACUUAGGCGGGUCGGUGCGAUGGAGGUUCAGCGGUUACCACUCGACAGAGAACUAUUAUUAUUUAGUAAUAACGGUUUUAUUUUAAAAUCUGGUUUUUCUUGAGAUUUUAUAAUUUUUGAGACUCUCUGGACUGUAUGGUUUUAACUUUUGGAUUUGGAUUUUGUUUUGCUUUCUUUUCUGCAAUGUUGACAAAAACAUUUUAUGCAAACAAAUGGUUUUAACAAAUGGUUUUUGGAAACACGAGCUUGGUUUCGAAUAAAACGAUUUUCAAACUUAUGCUGCAAAUUCUUGAUAAAUUAAAAUGGCUUCAAAUAAGAUUAUAAGCUCAAGUUUUUCCAGAUAUUAAGACUUCGAUUGGUAAACUAAUAAAACGAUAUGUUUUAACUUAAAAGACGUAAUUUAAAACCCUUCUUCGUAACACUCCCAGAUUCGACCAUAACGUCUAGGUCGGGCUAGGGGAGUUACAUUUAAAGCUAAUUGCCCCUAAUUUUUUUUAGUUAAAGCCACCACAUGUCACAAUGACGGCGUGAGAUGUGGCAAAAAAAUUAGAAAAAAUAAAAAUAAAUAAAAGUUAUAAAAAUUAUUAAAUUUUAAUAAAAAUAUAAAAAAUAUUUAAAAUUAUAAAAAAAUUAAAAAAAACGUAAAAAAUUAUAAAAUAUAGAAAAAAAUUAUGAAAUUUUUUAAAGUAAUAAGAAAAUUAUAAAAAAAUGUAAAGAAAUAUAAAAUUAAUAAAAAAUUAUAAAAAUUAUCGUACCAAAAGAAGCAUUUUAUAAAUUUUCUAUAAAUUUUAUGAUUUUUAUUUUUUAUCAUUUUUUGCCACAUGUUACUUUGUGUUGCGACACGUGAUGGCUUUAAUUGAAAAACUAAAGGUCGUUAACUUUAAUGGUCAACGGUUAAAGUUAAUGACUAAAGAGCAUUUUUUAUGUAUUUUAUAAUUUUUUUAUGAUUUUUAUAAAAUUUUACAAUUUUUUUUAUUUUUUUACGAUUUUUAUAUUUUAUUCCAAUUUUUAUUAUUUUUUAUUAAAUUUUAAUAAUUUUUAUAAUUUUUAUUGAUUUUUAUUUUUUACAAUUUUUUUCACAUGUCACGCUGUGAUUGUGACACGGGGUGAAUUUAAUUGAAAAAAAUUAGGGGCAGCUAAGUUUAACGGUCAACUGUGAAAAUUUAUGGUCAAAGGGCCUUUUUAAUUCAUUUUGGCAAUUGAACGAAAAAAAAAAACUUAAUUGCUUUUUUUUGAAAAAGUUUGAAUGCUUUUUUGAUGUAUUUUGGCAGCUCAAGUAUCUAGUUGAGUGAAAAAAAGUAGUGGCUUAAAUUUUUUUGUUAAAGUUUGAGGGUUUUUUACACCCUUAAGCCAAAUAUCAAUAACUCCCAAAGGCUGGAAAUUGAAAAGCAAACUCUACCAAAAUUAUAAUUUAUUUGGAAUAAUAAAUCUCACUAAAUUUUGAUAUAGUACUAAUGCUUAGUAUGAUGUGGAUUUGACCUAGCCAAUUGUUUCUAUUUAUAGAGAAAAUCACAAGUCUUAGUUGAAAAAGAAGAAGAAGAAUAAUAUUUUAACAAAACCAUAUAGUCUUACUAGUCCCUAGGACGAAUAGGGGUGGGUGGCGUACACUCCCUUUGGGAACCUUGUGUGCUUGCCCAUCCUACAUAUUCUAGAUUUGCCAAUCUUUUUCAUGUAUUGGAUUUAAUUAUAUAUGUUAUUUGAUAUUAUUCCUAAAAUAUUAUUUAUUUAGUUAAUUAAAAUAAAUUUAAUUAAUUUCCUAAUUAAAUUAUUUUCUCAACCUAAUUCUAACCUUGUUAAAAUCAUGACGACUUUAUUGUACUAGAAUAUGAGUAACUAAAUUUAAUUACGAUGUUCAAUAAGAAUGUGAUGACUAAUUAACUUAAAUUUCACUUCGAACUUUAAUUAUUCAAUUACAAUAAAUUAAAUAAUAAUUCAAAGAAAUUAAUUUAAUCUCUAAAUCAUCUCUUGCUCGUAGUGAGAAAAUUCAUUCACUGUGGAUAAUGAUUGAUGAUUGUUUUAUGAACCACUAAAUUAGACUACGAUCACAACUAAGGCAAGCGCACCUAUCGAAUGGUAGUAUUAGUUACAGUGAGUUCAGAGUAUCGUAUCCACAAGGACUAAAAGUACUAGUAUUAACUUUCUUUCUAUUAUUUAGACUAAAAUAUAAGGGAUUUGUUUUAAUCUAAAAUUAACUAACUAAUUAACUACUUAACGCGAUAGAGAGUGAAGAAAGUAAUCGAAUAAACUGAUAAUAAAUACAAUACCCAAGGAAGAAUUCACCUAGACUUCACUCAUUAUUCUAAUUCUGAAUCUAACGAUUUAUUCACUUGUCUAGAUCCGUAGAAAUCCCAAAAUUAUAUUAAUAUCCCUUUCGAGACUAAAAAGAACUAACUCUACGUUGAUUAAUUGAAAUCUCUUUCUAAUUAAAACCUCCAUUAUCACAUUAACUCGAUCUAUGGAUUCCCUUAUUUGAUUUGACUCUAAUCCGGCAGAUUUAUGUUGCCCUAUUUCUAGGGUUGCAUGCAACUCUGCUUAAUUAUGGUGGAUCUACUCUUAAACAGGGAAUUUUUCUCCACUGAAUAAGCACAUCAACUUGAAUUAAUAUCCUGAAAAUAUUAAAACAAGAAUGAAGAAAACAUAAUUAAGAACAAGAACAAGUAUUUAUCAUUUAAUUCAGAAUAUUAAAUAAUAAGAUCCGUCUUAGGUUUCAUCUUUCUUAGGUAUUUGGGGAGUUUAGUUCAUAUUGUUGUAGGAAAACAUCUCAAAAAUAGGAAAACAACAAAACAUAAAGAAACCUAAAAACUUCUAGAGAGAAAUUGGAGGGAGAUCUUCAGUCUUGAAGGUGAUCCUGCUUUCGAGCUGAACUCGUUGGUAUUCUUCGAGUAAUUCAUGUGUUCUACUUUGCGUGUCCCUCUUAGGUCUUCUUCUAGUGUGUUAAUAUAGACUUUAGGAUGCUCUGAAACUCUAAAAUUUGGCCUUUUCUGCGUAUUUGGGAAACAGGGAGCGAUAUCAUCACGGGAUGCCACACGGGCAUGUCGCCAUCCAGUGUGGCUCACACGGGCAUGUGCUCCACUCGUGUGGAAUUCGUUUUAGCAGCGUGGGUCCUUCAAUCAGCUCGUUUUGUCCAUUUUUUACCCGUUUUAUGAUCUUUUUGUUCCCCUAUGCUGUCCUGAGUAUAAAACAUGAAAUUAAGUGAUUAGGAGCUUCUAAUUCACUAAAUUAUAUGAUAAACCAUCCAAAAAUAUGCUAAGUAUGAGAUUAAAAUGUGUUACUUUUAUGGUUUAUCAAAUAUCCCCACAUUUAAGCAUUUGCUUAUCUUUAAGCAAAAUCCUCAAUCACAAUUAAAAUUAAACUUCCUUAAUUCAUAAUUCUCAUCAAUACUGGUUUAUCAUAAUUUCACAAAUAAUCAUACAUUGAUAAUUCAACUAAAAGAGCACCAAAUGCACAAGCAAUCCAAGUCUAACAUUUAAAGCAUGAAAACAUAGGUAUUCCCCUUUAUCUAAAUAAUUAUCUUUAAUUCAAAAAUUAAAAAGAAUUGACAUCCUCACUAAAGAUUCACUCAAAUCACUCAAAGUGUUUAAUGUUCAAAAAUUAAGCACUCAAGAUUCAAACAUGAGAAGUUAUUACCAUAAGCUUGCAUGAAAAUCAAAUCUCCACCACUAUAAAAUGAUGUGAUACACAAAUCAAAAGGUCUUUAAUGGGUUGUAACAGGGCUUGGGUUAAAGGUGUGGAUAAAGGCUGGAAAAGAAGUUAGAAUCGAGAUCGAUUUGAUUAAUUACCUACCUAGAAAAAUACUUAAAUAAUUACACCAAUUGAAUUUACUAACAAGAAACAUGAGCUUCUUCUCAAAAUAUAGAAUUAAAUACUUAGGUCAUAACAAAGAACUAAUAAGAAUCAACAUAAAUGUGUAUAUAUAUAUUCACUUUUUUUUUUGAAUGAAUGAAUAAUAAGAUAAAUUUAUACAACUAAAAUAAAAGAACAUAGUUAGGCAUUUAACCAAAUCAAAUCUUGAAAAAAGGGAGUCAAUAAAAUAGGAAAAAUUCUCAACGAAUCAAAAAGUAUGAUAUAUGGGUUAGUAUUUAGGGUAAAUUACGAAACAGUUUGUUAAGCUCAAAAGGGUUCACUAAGGGUUAAUUAUGAAGGUAGGCUUUUUAUGGGAUAAGUGGGUUAAAACCUAGGUGUCUUUAUCAUCUUAGUAUAUCAAAUCAAAGGUGUAGUCUCGACAUGUAUAAUCGAAGUAAGUUCUAGAAUAAAAAUUCAAUAUUGACACACUUAUAACCAAUAAAAAUUCAAAUGUAUGCUCUAAAGGCUCAAAAUCUCACAAAAAUUAUGGCUUUUGAUGUCAAUCUUACAAAUUUCAAACUUCAAGGUAAUACCUCAAUUUAGGGAAACAACCUAGAAAAUUUUAAUUCUGAAAAUAGACUUAUCAUGCUUGAUUGUCUAAUGUCUUAAUGUUUAAACAAUCAAUGCACAAUUACCUAUGAAUUUAAUCUAAAGCAUACCGAUAAAAAUUACAAACCAAAGAAAAAUCCAUUCUAAUAGUAAUAUGAGAAAACUACUUAAGCACCAGACAUAAUUCAGAGAUUUUCUGAUCAUCAUCUAAAUAACCUCCCCACACUUAAGAUGUACAUGUCCUCAAUGUACAAACAAAUAUAAAUCAUAAUAGAAACAAAAUAUCAUAAGAUAGGGAGAUAAUUGGAACUGCCCUAAAUGGUGGAUAAAUUUCUCAGAAUAGUGAAAAGCUGAAUUGUAGAUAGAUGUAAGGGUAGUGCAGAAUUCUGAGCAAUUGAUAAGAAAAUAAACACAAUGCUGAAGAAGAUUAAAGGGUUACUCGUUGAGAAACAACCAUAAUAAUUAAUAUAAAGUUCAAAAUAGGAAAAAAAUAGACAUAACAAAAAGAAUAAAAAUAAAAAUAAAAAUAAAAGAUAAAAGAUAAAAAUAAAGAUAAACAUAAACAUAAAAAAUAAUUAGACUCAAUGGUCCUUAUCAUCAGAGUGAUGUGAAGGUACUGACAGAUCUGUUGUAAAGUUGUAUCAAUACUGUCGAACCUCUGAGUGCACCACUUAUGGAAACUAGCGAACUCCUCGGAGGAUACUCCUAGGGAGCUAGCAGCAGAGGGAGCAUGUCGAUGACUCGAUGGUGGAGGCUGUGGCGGGUCCUCGUGAUAGGGAGGAACAUCAUCAAUGAAAUCCUCUGGGUCAUGCUAAAUGUCAGACUGGACUAGUCUAUACUGAAGGCGGUCCACUCCACGUCGCCGCUUGAUCAUCCUCAUAUGUAUCAUGCUCGAGAUACCCUGGGGAGACAUUUGACCGAAUAGGGUAAGUGUCGAAGACUACUCAGAUGUGUCGAGUAAGCCGAAGUGUCGAGCGAGAUGAGUCACAUAAGGGCCGAGAAAGAUGGGGCCCUUCUUAUGGUGUUUCGUCUGAUUGCGGCAAGCGAGUGCGAUGAAAUACGCCAAAGCAAACAGAUGUCCGAUAGUCAUGCUCUACAGAAAAUAUGCGUCAUAGGUACUAACCACUCCAGUGCUCUCUCUCCGAUCUGUCAAAGUGUGAGCUAGGAGGGCGUGAAUAUAUCAUAAGGCUGGAGAGAGGUGCGUUGCCUUCUAGCGACUUGCGUCAUAGUUAGUCAAGCGCCUGUAAGCUCAACCCAACAUCACGAGGGCGAGUAAUGAAUAUGUCGAUGAGGAUGGACAAAGUCCUCGGUGCUCAUGAACUCCUCUGUGUAAAGUCCCAAAGUAGCACCGAACUCUGGGACACUCAUGUGUCGCACCAGCCCGCCAAGGCGAAAGGGGAUGGUGCCAGGCUCGUCAUGGACGAACAGGACUUGCUGGACCGAGAAUGUGGCACUGAAUUCUAGGGUGAGCUCUGAGUAAGUGGGCUCUAUGAUGGUGAAGAACCUAUCCCAUGGAGCUGUGACAAUAAUGGCGCGCACAUCAUUAGCCAAACGGACCUGUUCCAAUGUGGCCCAAUCAAUGCAGCGACCCACACCGAGGGGUCAUACUCGAUGAAGCUGGUACAGUUCUUCUUGAGGGCCUACUGAAAAAUGAAGAUAAGGGUGGCGAUCCUCGGCAGAUGCGCUCGAUGAGGAGGUCCCACCGGUGCUUUUUCGCUUUUUCGAAACGGGGACAGUGACUUUGGUCUUGCCUCGAGUAUUCGUCAUGGUGUACCUAAAAAAGAGCGAUCAAAAUGGCGAAUUAUCAUAAAGGGAAUAGGCUAAGGAGGAAACCAACAACUAAGUUUAAGUUGAAGAAUUAAAAUAAUAAAGGAAUGUACUUUUAAGAUGAUAAACUAAAUGCUAACACGAAGCAAAAAACCUAAUAAGAAUAAUAACAUGAAGAACCAGAAUAGCAAGGAUAAAAUCCAAAACAAAAUCAAUUUACAAAAAUAGAAGACAUGAAUAAUACUGUUAAGUGAAUUUAGAGUAACACAAUUAUUAGAGAUAUCUAAAUGAUCAAGAACUAACAAAGAAACAAUAGUAAAGAAUCAAUAUCAGUCAAACCAAUAGAAUAAAAAUAAAUAAUUAAAAGAAUAAAAAAAUAAUAAUGACAAGAAUAAUAAUAAGAACAUAAUAAAAAAUAAAGAAUAGUAAUAAUAAUAAUAAUAACUAUAAAAUAUAGAAAUACAAAGGGAAUAGGGAAGAAACCGACGGUGGUAUGGUGGUGGUCGGCGGGAAAGGUUGAAUGCUCGGUGGUUGUGGUCGAUGAAACAGGGAUGAAGGGUGCGACGUUCGUGAGUAGGGGUCGUGUGGGCGUGGCGGUUUGGGAGAGGUAAGAAAGGGGAAGGAAGAGGGGAGAGUGGAGGGUGGUUGGGAAAUGGGUCGGUGAGAAUGGAGGAAUGUGCGUCGUGGGGAAGAAAAAGGAAGGCUAGAAGGGCAAAAGGGAUGACGGUGGCUGGAAAUGUAGGGGUUUAGAGGGCUGCAGUGACUAGAGGUUGAAGAAGAGAAGAAAAAGACAGAAUAGAAAAGGAAGGAAAAGAAAUUAGGGUUUGGGGUUAAAAGGGGACACUGUCGUGUAACAGUCCGUGUUAGGCCACAUGCUCGUGUCACACGCCAAUAUGGCUCUAAUUCUAGCCCGUGUUCAUCAAGAAACGUUAUAGCCCAUUCGUCACACGGCCGUAUCGCAUGGUCGUGUGCUAUGUUGUUCACUUCUCCCAUGCCUAUGUGGUCUCCCACAUGCCCGUGUGUCCAUAGACACAGUCGUGUGCUUCGGCCAUGAAGCUCUCUGACUUGUUUAAAAUUUGAAAAUUAAUCUUCAAUUUUCACACGGCCUUGGACACGCCCGUGUGUCUAGGCCAUGUAGUUCACACGGCCGUAUCACAUGGCCAUAUGCUAUGUUGUUCACUUUUCCCAUGCCUAUGUGGUCUCCCACACGCUCGUAUGUCCGAACACACAGAGCUUUCUGACUUGUUUAAAAUUUAAAAAUUUAGCUCCAGUUUUCACAUGGCCUGGGACACGCCCGUGUCUCCAGGCCGUGUGCUCCAUACGGCCAUAUCGUACACUCGUGUGGCCUCUGUUAGGACGUGUCUCUGUCGAUAUUUGGGUAAAUUUAGCUCUAGGGACAACACGGGCAAGGACACGCCCGUGUGUCUUGGCCAUAUAUUUCACACGGCCGUGUCUCCGAGCUGUGUAUCUCAUUGUCAGAUUUUUCAAUUUUUAAAAACUAAGUCCCAAAAUCUACACGGCCACAUCGCAUGGCUGUGUAACUCAUUAUUAUCCCCGUGUGAAGUCACACGGCCUAGGACACUCCCGUGUGUCCAGCCCGUGUGGGUCAAAAACCUACAUAAUAUGAUGUAAAAAUAAGAAAAUUAGUAGGGUUAGUACUCGAGUUGCCUCCUUAGAAGCGCUUAUUUAAAGUCUAAGCUAUACUCACCUUGUGUGCAUGGUUAUGAAGGCUCGAAGAGCUGGAGCUCCUCUUUAUCGUUUUUGAAAUCUUCACCAUUAUAAAGUUUUAGUCGAUGACCAUUUACCUUGAAUGUGCCUAAUUUUGGGUGAGUUACCUCUAUCGUACCAUAUGGGAAAAUAGUUUGCACUACGAAUGGACCUGACCAUCUUGAUUUCAGCUUUUCGAGAAACAAUUUGAGCCUUGAAUUAUACAAGAGGAUAAGCUAUCUGACUUCGAAUUGUUUGCGCUACUUUAAACGAGUGCUGCGGCGUCACUUUGUCGCUUCUUUAUAUAAUCAUGAGUUCUCAUAAGCGUUUGUUUUCCAUUCAUCUAACUCGUUCAGCUGCAUCAAUCUCUUCUGACCUACGAGUUUGAGAUAAAAUUUUAGGAAUUUUAUAGCCCAAAAUGCUUUAUGUUCUAAUUAGAAAUGGUAGAUGACAACUCUUCCCAUAAACGAAUUUGCAAGGAGAGGUUCCUAUGGGAGUUUUAAAAGCAGUUCUAUAGGCCCAUAAAGCGUCAUAUACUUUUGUUUCCCAAUCCUUCCUAUUUGAUUCUACGAUUUUCUCUAGGAUGUGUUUAGGUUAUCGAUUGGCGACUUCGACUCGUCCACUGGUUUGAGGGUGAUAAGGGGUAGCUAUCCUAUGAUGCACUCCAUAUUUCUUAAGUACUUUAUCAAAUUGAGCAUUACAAAAAUGUGUACCCCUAUCACUAAUGAUCGCUCUAGGUGUUCCGAAUCGAGAAAAGAGCUUCUUAAGAAAUCUGACUACCACUCUAGCAUCAUUAGUAGGUAAAGAUUGAGCUUCUACCCAUUUCGACAUAAAAUCGACUACUACUAGGAUGUAUUUAUUGCCAUAUGAACUAGGGAAUAGGCCUAUAAAAUCGAUACCCCAAAUAUCAAAUAUUUCACAUGAGAGCAUAUAUGUUUUAGGCAUUUAAUCAUGUUUAGAGAUAUUACCUAUUCUCUGGCAUUUAUCACAAGAAGUAACAUACCUGUUAGCGUCCUUAAACAAUGUAGGCCAAUAAAAACCUGAUUCGAGCGCUUUAUGUGUUGUCUUAGUUCCACUGUGAUGUCCUCCUGCUGGGCCUGAAUGACAGUGUUCCAGGAUCUUACUCGCUUCUAAUUUUGUAACACAUCUCCGAAUUACUUGAUCUGUGCAUACACGAAAAAGAAAAGGAUCCUCCCAAAAAUAAUUUCUCACAUCAGUAAAGAAUUGUUUCUUUUGAUGAUGCGUUAACCUUUUAAGAAUGAUGUUAGCAACUAGAUAAUUCGUAAUAUCUGCAAACCAAGGGCUUUCAGAGUCAGUUGUAACCAGGAGUUGUUCUUCAAGAAACGAGUCAUUUAUCUCAAGUUCAUCAAGCUCCUUAAGAUGUGGGUAUUCUAAUCUAGAUAGAUGAUCUACUCCAAGAUUUUCUACUCCCUUAUUAUCUUGAAUCUCUAAAUCGAAUUCCUACAAUAAUAAAAUCCAUCUUAUUAGUCGAAGUUUUGCAUCUGAUUUAGAAAGGAGAUAUCGAAGAGCUGAAUAGUCAGUGUAUUUGAAAACUUUAGAUAAUAUUAAAUAUGGUCUAAACUUAUCGAAUGCAAAAACCACAGCCAAUAAUUCUUUCUCAGUCAUCGUAUAAUUUUCUUGUGCAGUUGUCAAUGUCUUGCUAGCAUAAUAUAUCGAUUGAAAAAGCUUGUCUCUUCGCUGUCCAAGAACCGCACCUACUACAAAAUCACUCCCAUCACACAUUAGUUCAAAGGGUAAAUUCCAAUCAGGUGCAACUAAAAUCGGAGCAUUAAUUAAUUUAUCUUUCAAAGUGUUAAAUGCUUCUAAACAUUCCUGAUUGAAAUCGAAAGGCACAUCCUUUUCUAGUAAAUUCGUUAAAGGCUUAGCUAUUUUAGAAAAAUCCUUAAUAAAUCUUCUAUAAAAUCCAACAUGUCCUAAAAAACUUCGAAUAGCCUUAACGGAACUAGGGGGAGGUAAUUUUUCAAUAGUUUCAAUUUUCGCUUUGUCAACCUCGAUCCCUUUACUAGAAAUUUUAUGGCCUAACACAAUCCCUUCACGAACCAUAAAGUGACAUUUUUCCCAAUUUAGUAUAAGGUUCGUUUCCUCAGAUCUCAUUAGAACUCAUUUUAAAUUUUUAAGGCAAAGAUGGGAAGAGUUACUAAAUACCGAGAAGUUAUCCAUAAAUACAUCCAUAAUGUCUUCUACGAGUUCAUAAAAAAUGGCCAACAUGCAUCGCUGAAAAGUAGCAGGAGCAUUACAUAAUCCAAAAGGCAUUCGUUGAUAAGAAAACGUACCGUAUGGACAUGUAAAUGUCAUUUUAUCUUGGUCUUUAGGAGCUAUUGGGAUUUGAAAGUAACUAGAGAGUCCAUUUAGGAAGCAGUAACACAUAUGCCCAGAUAAUCUUUCCAACAUUUGAUCAAUGAAUGGCAAGGGAAAGUGAUCUUUUCUCUUGGCAUCAUUCAACUUCCUAUAGUCAAUGCAAACUCUCCAUCCCGUGACUGUGCGUGUUGGGAUCAAUUCAUUCUUCUCAUUAGCCACAAUAGUCAUGCCUCCUUUCUUAGGGACAACCUGCACAGGACUCACCCAAGAACUGUCAUAAAUUGGAUAAAUAACUCCAGCAUCUAGAAGUUUAAUUACCUCAGCUUUUAGGACUUUUUAAUGUUAGGAUUCAGUCAUUUUUGAGCUUGCAUGCAUGGUUUAUAUUCAUAUUCCAUUAAAAUUUUAUGUGUGCAUAAAGGAGGACUGAUCCUUCUUAUGUCAGAAAUCUUCCAAGCUAUAGCUCUUUUAUGCUCCUUCAGCACUUGAAGUAACUCGUCCUUUUCAGUUGGCUAUAAAUCUGAAGCAAUAAUCACUGGUAAUAUGGAAUUAUUUCCAAGAAACACAUAUUCUAGGUGAUUUGGUAAUUUCUUCAAUUCCAAUUUAGAAGGUUCUUCAAUAGAGGGUUUUAAUUUUAAUUCAUUGUUUACCUUAAUACCUUCAUAAUUCUUCUGUCUUGGUGAAGACUCAUUAGAAUUUAAUUCAACUUUUGUCUUACCUAAAACAGAAUCAUCGUCAUUUACCUUCUUUCCUUGGGCAAGACACAGUUCCAACGUAUCCUUAUGAACGAUUUCCUGUAAAGGAUCUUGAGUAGCAUGAUCAAUAGAAUCAAUAAAAUAGCAGGAGUUAUCUUGUUCUCUAGAAAAUCUCAUGGCAUCAUAAAUUUUAAAAAUAAUCUCUUCGUCACCUACCCUAAGCAUAAGUUUACCAUCACCCACAUCAAUAACAGCCCUAGUAGUGGCUUAAAAUGGGCAACCUAAAAUUAAAGGCACCUCAACAUCCUCAUCCAUUUCAAGCACAACAAAAUCAACAGGGAAUAUGAAUUUAUUUACUUUUACGAGUACAUCUUCAAUAAUACCCCUAGGAUAUUUAACAAAUCUAUCAGCUAGUUGAAUACUCAUCUUAGUAGGUUUUGAUUCCCCAAGGCCAAGUUGCUUGAACAUUUUGUGAGGCAUCAAAUUAAUGCUAGCGCCUAAAUCAACUAGUGCCUUUUCAACAUUUAAACUACCAAUUAAACAGGGAAUAGUGAAACUUCUUUGAUCUUUUAGUUUGGUUGGUAGUUUAUUUUGGAUUAUGGUUGAGCACUCCUCGUUGAGUUCUACUGUAGACAAGUUCAAGAAAUUUACCAAAUUGUGCAUCCAUGCGGUUUUUCUUCAACUAUGCUAGAUAUGGGAUUGGUGGUUUAUAUUCCCUUAGCACCAGUUUUUCACUUAUUUUGGGUUUUACCUCCUCAUCCUUCUUCCUAUCAGAUUCUUGUGGCAGUGUUUUUCAGAUUCAGUUAACACAUUCCUACUUAGGUAACUAAUUUCACGUGCUUUUUUAGGUUGGGUUCGGUGUUACUAAGGAGGCUGCCUUGUGGUCUCCCUGAAAUCAUCUUAGCCAGCUGCCCUAUUUGAUUCUCGAGCCCUUAAAUUGAUACUUGUUAAUUUUUAAGUGCAGUUUCAGUGUUUUGAAAAUGGGUUUCUGCUACUGAAAUAAAAUUCGUCAUCAUCUCGUCAAGGUUCGGCUUUUUCUCUUACUGGUAAGGCUGUUGUUGGAAGCCUGGAGGGGGUGGUGGUCUCUGAUUUCCUUGGCCUCCUCAUGAGAAAUUUGGGUGGUUCCUCCAACCUGCAUUGUAAGUGUUACUGUAAGGAUUAUUUUGAGGUCAAUGAUUAUUACCCAUAUAAUUUAUUUGCUCGGUAUCCAUGCUGGGGCCAAAGGGUAAAUAUUCUGAAUUGCCCAUUCCACCUCCACUCGUGUCAGACUACAUCACUGGAUGUACCUGCGUAGAACCUUAUCGACCGUCAAUCUUUUUAUUCAAGAGUUCUACCUAGUUUGAUAGCAUGGUGACUGCAUCUAGGUUGAAAACACCAGUUGAUUUUUUCAGCUUUGUUCUCAUGGCUUGCCACUAGUAGUUAUUCAGUGACAUCUCCUCUAUAAACUCAUAGGCCUCCUCAGGUGUUUUGUUAUUUAUGGUUCCACCGGCAGCUGCAUGGACUAUUUACCUAGUUGAGGGGUUCAAACCGUUGUGAAAAGUUUGAACCUUUAGCCAUAAAGGUAACCCAUGGUGAGGGUGCAUUCUUAGUAAGUCCUUAUACCUCUCCCAUGCGUCGUAUAAAGUCGCUAAAUCCAUCUGCACAAAGGAAGAGAUAUCGUUCCUCAAUUAGGCUGCCUUAGCCGGUGGAAAGUACUUUAGUAAAAACUUCUCAAUCAUCUGUUCCCAAGUAGUAAUUGAACCUCGCGGUAGGGAGUUCAACCACUUCUUAGCCUUUUUUCUUAACGAGAAGGGAAAUAGCCUUAGGCGAAUGGCGUUGUAAAAAACGCCAUUGAUCUUAAAAGUGUCGCAAUAGUCCAGAAAGUUGGCCAAAUGAGUAGUCUUGCAAACCAUCGAAUUGAAUAAACUACUGGAUCAUCUGAAUUGUAUUUGGCUUCAGCUCAAAAUUGUACAUAGUACGAGGAGCAGGAUUCUGAUUUACAGGAAUUACUGCAACCACAGGAGGUAGUGGAUUAUUAUGAUUUUCAGCCAUCUCCUUGGUAGUAUUGGUAUCGUCCUCAUGCUCUUCUUCUAUAUACUGUAAACUUCACCUUAUUUCUCUACAAUUUCUGCGAGCUAUGCUUUCAAUUUCGCUAUAAAAAAGUAGAGGUCCUAAUGGGUUUCUUCCAGUCAUAAACAAUAAGAACCUGCCAGAAGCAAACAAAAGAAAAAUUAGUAAUUAAAAUAAAAAAUAAAAAUAAAUUGCAAUAAAAAUAAAAAAUGGCUAAAGUAAUAAAAAUUAAGCAUUCCUAAUAUCUUAGUUUCCGGCAACGGCACCAAAAAUUUGAUCAUCGUUUUAUAAACCAUUAAAUUAGACUAUGAUCAUGACUAAGGCAAGCACACCUAUCGAAUGGUAGUAUUAGUUACAGUGAGUCCAGAGUAUCGUAUCCACAAGGACUAAAAGUACUAGUAUUAACUUUCUUUCUAUUAUUUGGCCUAAAAUAUAAGGGAUUUGUUUUAAUCUAAAAUUAACUAACUAAAUAACUACUUAACUUGAUAGAGAGUGAAGAAAGUAAUCGAAUAAACUGAUAAUAAAGACUGUUGAAUAGGCACGGGCGUGUAGUCUACCUGUGUAAGUUGUGCUUCGAUCCGGCCAAAGGGACACGGCCGUAAGGCACGCCCAUGUGAGGAAGCCCAGGCCGUGUUGAUUUACCAUGUGGGUCCAGUUUCUCAAUUUUCGGCCCGUUUCUCGCUCUUUUUACUCUCCUAUGCUCAUCUAAGUAUAAAACAUGAAAUUAAAGAAUUAGGAGCAUCAAAUUCACCAAAUCUAAGGAGAAACCAUCCAUAAAUGUGCUAAGCAUGGGAUAAAAACAUGUAUAAAUUACGGUUUAUCAACAACGCAACUGUAAACUGCAGUGUAGACUUCUAACUUAUUGGUCCUCUAGCAAGUGUAAAUACAUAACCAGUGGUUGAUCUUCGUUUAUCCAAAUCACCGGCAUAGUCAGAAUCAAUGUACCUAAUAACAUCUUUACCAAGUGUUGUAUCCUGCUUGAACAGUAAUCCAACAUCCAUGGUCUUUUGAAUGUAUCGUAGAAUCCAUUUCACAGCUUGCCAAUGUCCUUUUCCAGGAUUAUGCAUAUACCUGCUCACUAUACUAACUGCCUAUGAAAUGUCAGGUCUUGUACACACCAUUGCAUACAUCAAGCUACCUACUGCAUUAGAAUACGGAACUUGUAACAUGUAUUCUUGUUCGUUUUCAUUGAAGGAGAUAGUUGUGCAGAAAGCUUGAAAUGAGAAGCCAACGGGUACUUACAGGUUGUCUGCUCGUUCUGUAACACCCCUUACCCAUUCCCGAGACUGGGACCAGGCACGAGGCAUUACCAGACACAUACUCGAAUAUUUUUGGGAAAUACUGUUUAUAAAAGUUCAUUACAAUUUGAACCCAAUCAAACAACAUCUUAGUGCCCCUAUUAUGGGCCUACGAGGCCCAAAAUAUAUAUUGAAAAUGGCCCUAGACUAAAUCGGGGACCUGAGGAAAUUUUAAGAAAAUUUCUAGAUUAAUGUCUCACACGCCCGUGUGGAGACAAUGCACACGCCCGUGUGCUUUGGGACACACCCGUGGCCCCUACUCGUGUGGAAUUAAUUGAAUUUAUUUCCUAUUUCGAACCUACAGGGUUUUCACACAGCCCAACACACGACCGUGCCCCUGACCCGUGCCUCUCACACGGCCUAGACUCGCCUGUGUCCAAGAACCCGAGCAUUCUGUUUAUGAUGCCAGCAUGCAUUUUGGGGCACACGGCCAAGACACAUACCCGUGUGCUAGGCCUACCCUACACACGAUUGAGACACAUGACCGUGUCUCUGCCCGUGUGUUUACUACCAUGCAUUCUGACUUAAAAUGUUUAGCUACAGGGGACACACGGACGGACUACACGCCCAUGGGGCUAUCCGUGUGUCACACACAGCCUAAACACAUGCCCGUGUGUCUAUCCGUGUGGAGCUUAUUGGGCUAUUUUCCAAGCCUUUGGUCACCUUCUAAUAUUCAUAUCCACUUAUAGUUUUCAAUAACACUUAACAUGGUCUAAUUAUACUCUUAAGUGACCUUAAUAUACCUCAUUGCAUGUAAACCUCAUCUCAUCGAUUUUUAUACAUGCUAGGUUAUCCCAUUUAUAUUAAGGAUUUCUAUGACUUGUAACUCAAUUGAGCUUGACUCGUUAUCUUAACUCAUUGCCAAAUUGUGGCCUAACCACCCCAUGUGAUUUGGUCAUAUUGUAUAUCACUAAUUAUAACAUACCAUAUUUAAUCAUCACAAGAAUAUUGGAACAUAACAUGCACAAUUUGGUAGGUCAUAACCUACACCAAAAUGAGCCAAUUCCCCUGGCCAUACACAAGUGAAUAUGUAUACUUUUAUAAGCCUUCACAUUGGCUAAUCAAGUGACACAUAUAACAAAAUAACAAAAGCUCUAUACAUGCCAUUAACAAAAUAAAAGUGUCUAUAUACCAAAGCUAGACAAGAUGAUAGUGUGUUGAUUUUCCAAUCGUCUCCCAAUCUUCACAAGUCCACGAUCUCUGUAAGACAGGAAAAAGAGAGGGGUAAGCAUUUAGAUGCUUAGUAAGCCCGUGUAACUAGAAAGUAAACUUACCGAUUAAUUAGCAUGCAUCCAUAUUAGGCAAUAAAAUCAACAAGCAUAAAAUAAUUUCCCUAUCACAUGCACUCAAACCGACAAGUUAGUUCCAUAACAGUACAUCAUGUAACUUGUCUUAGAUGAGAUCAUCAUCCAACAUUUUCAUUUUUCUAUCUCAUGUUGAUCCCGUGGAGUUUCUCAGAAAUUUCGAUGGAUUAUCCAUUUACCGUCAAGUCAUAAGAGCGAUCAUCUCAAGUACGCGCUCCCGCCAACCUCACAUCAUACGGCGGGAUUACCAGUCCAGGAUAAAUCCCUGGUAAUUUAAACUCAUAGGGCGAUGUCGGGAUUACCAGUCCAGGCUAAAUCCCUUAUAGUGACAAACACCUUUAAUGAGCUCGGAUCUAAAUUACCAGUUCAGGCUAAAUUCAGACCCUAAUCGGAUUACACGUCCGGGCUAAAUCCACAAUGCACACAUAUUCUUCGGGAGGCUCGAUCACUCAAAGAACACCCGUCUAGGCUAGAUCCUUUCUAUAUUUGAGAUCAACGGAUUAUCCGUCUAGGCUAAAUCCUUUUCUACAGCACAUGCAUGAUCUCAAGUCAUGUAAGCCAUGGUUUAUCCAUCGAAUUUCCCUUUUUGACUUCAACCGGGACAUUUAUUAUCAUACCAUUAUUAUUAACACAUUUCAUGGACUUUCAUGCCAUCACUAUAACCAAUUAUCAUACAUUCAUAAAUCAUGCAAUUAGACAUAUUAAUGGUUUACUUAAAGUUAUUCAAACAUACCUGGUACUCGUUCGUUUUCGCGUUUCGGUUAUUCCAAAACUUUUCAUUUUCCUUGAUCGACCUCCGGAAUUUGUUCCUCGAGGUCUAUAACAAUAAAAAUGAAUCAUUAAUACCUCACAUUAUUCUUUUUGAGUCUAAAUUUCACCCCCAAACAGAAUGACCAUUUUGUCCUUAACCUUUCACAUUAUUUAAGAUUUAGUCCCUAGGCUCGUAUGAUGAAAUGCAUGAAUUUUCUACAUUACCCAAGCCUAGCUGAAUGUUCUUUCCUGUUUUGAAAGCCCACAUUUUCCAUUAUUUCACAUUUCUACCACAUAUUUUACACCUUUUGCAAAAAGGUCAUUUUAGGGUUUUUCAUGAAAAUCACCUAGAAAAAGAUGUUUAACACACAUCCAGCUUUCAUAUUCCUCCAUAAAUCAUCAAAUAAUAAACAUGUCACACAUGGGUCACUUUACAUACAUGAACCCUAGCUCAAAAUAUGGGUAGAAAUGGAGAGAAUAAGUUACCAGGAUUUAAAAAAUACAAAGAACAUUAAAAAUGGGGCAUGAGAGCACUUACUAUUGAGCUUGAAAAUGUUGAAAACCCUAGCUAUAGAGGGCUUGAGAAAUUUGGCUAGAUGAGGGAGAAGAAUGACUGAUUUUUACCUUCAUUUUCCCAUUUUAUAUCAUUAAUUAACCAAAUGACCAAAAUGCCUUUAAGCCAUUUCUUUCAAAUUUUAUCCAUACAUGCCCAUUUUUGUCCAUAAACUUUGAAAUUGGGCAAAUUGAUCUUUAAGGACUUUUAAUUAAUAAUCUAAAUCAAUUUCAGGCAAAUUGCUUCUAGAAUCCAAGUUUUUAAUUUAUUCAAUUUGGUCCUUAUUUUCCAAUUGGACACUUUACUCAUAGAAUUUCUUCAUGAAACUUUAACACAUGCAUAUUUCCAUAUUCUAGACCUCAUAAUAAUCAUAAAAUAAAUAUUUCAAUGUUGAAUUUGUGGUUUCAAAACCACAAUUUUGACUAGGCCCUAUUUCGGGAUGUUACAUUUCACCCCUUUAGGGACUUUCGUCCUCGAAAGUCUUACCAGUAAACGGGUUCGGAUAUUAGCUUCUCAUGGUUUCUUCUGGCUCCCAUAUAGCCUCUUCCAAACCAUGUUGAUACCAUAAGACUUUUACCAAGGCCAUAUCUUUAUUUCUCAGUUGUUUAACCUCACGAGCCAGAAUCUUUACCGGUUCUUCACCAUAGGUCGUGUCCAGUCUAAUUUCAAUCUCCAUCGGUGAAAUUACAUGAGAGGAGUCUGAUCGAUAUCGCCUUAACAUAGAUACAUGGAACAUAUCAUGAAUCUUUUUCAGUUCUGGUGGCAUUUCCAAGCGAUAGGCUAAUGGUCCAACUCUUUCAGUGACCUCAUAUGGUCCAAUAAACUGUGGACUCAGUUUCCUUUUUCGGCCAAAUCUCAAUACCUUUUUCUAUGGAGAUACUUUCAAGAAUACUUUGUCUCCGACUUGGAACUCAAUCUCUUUUCUUUUCAGAUCAGUAUAUGACUUUUAUCUAUCCGAUGUCUCUUUUAAACAGUCACGUAUCACUUUGACCUUUUCUUUAGUUUCUUUGAUUAGAUCAACUCCGUGAAUCUGACUCUCCUUAAGUUCUAUCUAAUAUAAUGGAGUUCGACACUUUCUGCCAUACAAGGCCUCAGAAGGCGCCAUCUUCAAACUCGUUUGAAAACUGUUGUUGUAGGCGAACUCUACCAAUGGCAAGUAUUUUUCCCAGCUACCUUGAAAUUCGAGGAUGCAACAUCGCAACAUAUCUUCAAGAAUUUGAAUCAUCCGCUCAGACUGACCAUCGAUUUGCGGGUGAAAAGUUGUACUAAAACUCAACCUAGUACCCAAGGCUUCUUGUAACUUCUUCCAGAAUCUCGAAGUGAAUCUUGUAACAAGUCGGCCAACUUGUUAACAGAGUAAUCUGUCUUUACGGGGAUAAAAUGAGUUGACUUUGUCAACUUAUCAACCAUAACCCAUAUAGCAUCUUUCUUUUUCGGGGUCAAUGGUAAUCCUAUCACGAAGUACAUAGUGAUUUUAUCCCACUUCCAUUCGGGGACCAUCUCAGGCUGUAGUAAACCUGAAGGUACUUGAUGGUCUGCCUUGACUUGCUGGCAUAUCAAGCAUUUCGAUACAAAUUCGGAGAUGUCUCUUUUCAUGCCGUUCCACCAGUAUAUUUUCUUUAAAUCAUUGUACAUUUUGGUAUUUUCAAGAUGAAUAGACAAACGGUUAUCAUGUGCCUCUUGCAAGAUUUUUCAAAUAAUUUCAUCGUUCCUCGAUAUACAUACUCUGUCUCUGAACAUCAAACGUCCAUUAGAUCUGAUCUGAAAAUCUGAUUCGAUACCUGCCUCACAUUGAGUUCUUUUGGCUUGCAAGUCACUAUCAUUAGUCUGACCAUCAUAAAUCUCCUGAAGAAAUGUUGGCCUAACCCUUAGUUCUGCCAAAACUGAACCAUCAUCAAACAACACCAAUCGAGUUUCAUGGCCCUCAAUGCAGAUAAAGAUUUUCUGCUUAACACAUCGGCGACCACAUUCGCCUUUCCCAGAUGAUAAUCUAUGAUCAGCUCAUAAUCUUUAAUUAGUUCUAACCAUAUCUGCUGCCUCCGAUUUAAUUCUUUUUGAGUCAUCAAAUACUUCAAACUCUUGUGGUCUGUGAAUAUACGAUAAGUCUCACCAUAUAAAUAAUGCCUCCAAAUUUUCAAGGCAAAAAAAUGACGGCAAGCUCUAAGUCAUGCGUCGGAUAAUUCUUCUCGUGUGGUUUCAACUACCGUGAAGCAUAGGCUAUUACCUUGCCAUCUUGCAUAAGUACACAACCUAGUCCAUUUAAGGACGCAUCGUUGUAGACCACAAAAUCUUUUCUCGACUUAGGUAAUACUAGAACUGGAGCCUCCGUCAAGAAUGUCUUCAACUUUUCGAAACUCUGCUAACACUUUUCUGACCAUUUGAACUUAACGUCUUUCUGUAGCAACCUCUUCAAUGGAAUUGCUAUUAUGGAAAAUCCUUUCACAAAUCUUUGGUAGUAACUAGCUAAGCCCAAAAAGCUUCUAACCUCAGAUACAUUUUUAGGUGGUUUCCAUUCAACGAUGGUAGAGAUCUUACUUGGAUCAACUCGGAUGCUAUCACCCGAAACCAUAUGACCCAAAAACCCUACUUCUUGGAGCCAAAAUUCACUCUUGCUAAACUUAGCAUACAAUUUUUUCCCUUAAAGUCUGCAACACCAUUCUCAGGUGCUUCGUAUGCUCUGUCUCAUCCUUGGAAUAUAUCAAAAUAUUGUUAAUGAACACGACGACAAACUUGUCCAAGUAUGGGCGAAAUAUCCUAUUCAUAAGGUCCAUAAAUACAGCCGGUACAUUCGUUAACCCAAAUGGCAUGACAAGGAAUUCAUAGUGACCAUACCUCAUUCUGAAAGUUGUCUUAAGCACAUCCGGUUCCUUAACUCGCAACUGAUAGUAAUCGGAUCUCAGGUCUAUCUUAGAGAAUAUAGUGGCUCCCCUCAACUGGUCGAACAAAUCAUCGAUUCUUGGUAAAGGAUACUUAUUCUUGAUAGUUACCUUAUUCAGCUACCGAUAAUUUAUACAUAGCCUCAUUGAACCAUCUUUCUUCUUUACAAAUAAUACGAGAGCACUCUAAGGCGAAAAGCUAGGCAUUGCAAAACCUUUAUCCGUUAGUUCUUGCAAUUGUGCUUUUAACUCUUUCAGCUCGGUUGGUGCCAUCCUGUACGGAGCAAUAGAAAUAGGAGCUUUCUUGGCACUAGUUCAAUACCAAACUCUAUCUCUCUAUCAAGAGGUAGUCCGAGUAAUUCUUCACGGAACACGUCUGGAUAUUCAUAUACUAUUGGUAUGGACUGAAUCUUCAACUUCGUUUCCUUAGUGUUCAGUACAAAAGCAAGGUAGGCUUUGUAGCCUUUUCUCAUACAUCUUUGAGCAGCUAUUGAUGUAAUUACAAUCAGCAGAGUAUCCAACUCUCUUGAAUCAACCCGUAGAAUCUCACCAUUUGGGCACUUCAAUUCAAUAUACUUGCUACCACAAUUUACAAUUACAUCAUGCAGGGCUAACCAAUCCAUGCCAAGUAUUACAUCAAACUCAUCAAAUAGCAAUAACAUAAGGUUAGCUGGAAAACAAUGACCCUGAAUCAUCAAGGGACAAUUUUUACAGACUUUAUCAACCAGGACUGACUUGCCUAAUGGGUUCGACACUCUAAUAUAAAUUCUGUAGGUUCAAUGGACAUAUUCAUACUAAACACCAAUCUCAUGAAAAUGUAUGAAUGCGUCGAUCCCGGAUCAAUUAAGGCAACAACACAAGUAUUAAAAAGAGAAAAAAUACCCGUGAUGACGUCAAGAGCAGAGGCUUCUUCUCGAGCGCGUAUUACAUACGUUCUUGUCGAGGCUCGAGCCUCUAAUUUCAAAGUGUCUUUGGCUGCAACUCGACUGCCACUAGAACUUCCAGUAUCUCAGAGGUCUACCUCGUGGAGUAGGAGUACUCGAAUUAGGGACUAGUUCCAUCUCUUUAUUAGUUCGCUCUAGGCAAUCUCUGAGGAAGUGGUCAAGAGAACCACAUCUAAAGGACGCACCACUCUUCAUUCGGCACUUUUCGAAGUGAAAUUUAUUGUAGCUUUUACACUUCGACUUUUGGUCAUUGACACUCCCUACACUAGUCACCAUCGGGGAAGAAGAAUUUUAGUUACGCCGUUUGGAGCUUCUCGCUCUACCCGAAUAUCCUACUGAUGAAGUGGAGCAUUCACGUUGGCUCUUUGAUUUCUUUGUGGGAAAUGAGAGCGUCUUACCGCUGGAUCUCUUGUUCGCAACUCGAGCUUCUCUCUUAGCUUGCUUUCUUUCAUUAUUGAGCUCCUCGAUUUUCUUGGCCUGAUCAGCUAAUGCAGCGAACUCUCGUAUCUCAAGAAUCCCAAUCAACAACUUGAUUUCUUCAUUCAGACCUUCCUCAAAGUGUUUACACAUUUCUGACUCUGUUUGAACCCAUUCAGUCGCAUACUGACUUAGGCUUAGAAACUCUCUUUCGUAUUCCGCUACAGUCUUAUCUCCUUGUUUGAGUUCUAAGAACUCCUUUCGCUUCGAGUCUAGGAAUCUUUGACUGGUGUAUUUCUUCUUAAACUUCGCUUGGAAAAAUUCCCAAGUGAUGUUUUCCUUUGGCACCACUGAAGGUACAGUCUUCCACUAGUGGUAUGUAGUUUUCCUUUGAACGGGGCUUUACCAACUCUUACAGGUGCCAUACCUCGUGGCACUUCCUCAUCAGGUCGAUUAGGGGGCAGGGAAGGUUAUGGCAUGUUGGGGUGAUUCCUCAAAUAAUCCUCAAACCAUUCAUCCAUCAUAUCAAAGAAGGCGACUUUGGCCUCUUCCCAGCCUUCAAACAUAAGCCUUUUACUACUACUAGAAAUAGCUCUUGUAUGGAAGCUGGAGCAUGGCUCUCGGCUCUCUCGGGCUCAUCUUACGCUUGAUUGGAAGGCAAUUACUAUAUUCAAAGACGAUGAAAUAGUUAGGAGAUGUCACACUAUCAACGUUCAUAUAAUGAAAUGUAUAGCUAAACUCGAUACAUUCUACGGUAGUCCUAGAACCGACUAAAUCUUAGCUCUAAUACCACUAAAUGUAACACCCCUUACCGAUUCCCGAGACCGAGACCAAGCACGAGGCAUUACCAGACACAUACUUGAAUAUUUUUGGGAAAUACUAUUUAUAAAAGUUCGUUCCAAUUUGAACCCAAUCAAACAACAUCUUAGUGUCCCUAUUAUGGGCCUACGUGGCCCAAAACAUAUAUUGAAAAUGGUCUGGGACUAAACUGAAGACCUAAGAAAAUUUUAAGAAAAUUUCUAGGUUAAUGUCUCACACGUCCGUGUGCUUUGGGACACUCCCAUGUCCCCUACCCGUGAGGAAUUAAUUGAAUUUAUUUCGUAUUUCGAACCUAUAGGGGUUUUCACACGACCAAGCACACGUCCUAGACACGCUCGUGUGGUCACCCAUGUCCAAAAACUCGAGCAUUCUGUUUAUGAUGUCAGCAUACAUUUAGGAGCACACGGCCAAGACACACGCUCGUGUGCUAGGCCGUGCCCUCUACAUGGUUGAUACACACGGCCGUGUCUCUGCCCGUGUGUUUACUACCAUGAUUCUGACUUAAAUUUUUUAGGUCCAAGGGACACACGGACGGACUACAUGCCCAUGGGGCUAUUCGUGUGUCACACACGGCCUAGACACAUGCCCGUGUGUCUACUCGUGUGGACCUUAUUGGGCUACUUUCCAAGCCUUUGGUCACCUUCUAAUAUUCAUAUCCACUUAUAGUUUUCAAUAACAAUUAACAUGGUCUAAUUAUACUCUUAAAUGACCUUAAUAUGCCUCAUUGCUUGUAAACCUUAUCUCAUCGAUUUUUAUACAUGCUAGGUUAUCCCAUUUAUAUUAAGGUUUUCUAUGACUUGUAUCUCAAUUGAGCUUGACUCGUUAUCUUAACUCAUUGCCAAAUUGUGGACUAACCACCCCAUGUGAUUUGAUCAUAUUAUAUAUGACUAAUUGUAGCAUACCAUAUUUAAUCAUUGCAUAAACAUUGGAACAUAACAUGCACAAUUUGGUAGGUCAUAACCUACACCAAAAUGAUUCCCCUGACCAAAUACAAGUGAAUAUGUAUACUUUUAUAGGCCUUCAUAUUGGCUAAUCAAGUGACAUAUAUAACAAAAUAACAAAAGGCCUAUACAUACCAUUGAACAAAAUAAGAGUAUCUAUAUACCAAAGCUAGACAAGAUGAUAGUGUGUUGAUUCUCUAAUCGUCUCCCAAUCUUUACAAGUCCACAAGCUUUGUAAGACAGGGAAAAAAGAGGGGUAAGCAUUUACAUGCUUAGUAAGCCCGAGUAAGUGGAAAGUAAACUUACCGAUUAAUUAGCAUGCAUCCAUAUUAGGCAAUAAAACCAACAAGCAUGAAAUAAUUUCCCUAUCACAUGCACUCAAACCGACAAGUUAGUUCCAUAAUAAUACACCAUGUAAUUUGUCUUAGAUGAGCUCAUCAUCCAACAUUUUCAUUUUUCUAUCUCAUGUUGAUCCCAUGGAGUUUCUCGAAAAUUUCUAUGGAUUAUCUAUUUACUGUUAAGUCAUAAGAGCGAUUAUCUCAAGUACGCGCUCUCGUGAACCUCACAUCAUACAGCAGGAUUACCAGUCAGGCUAAAUCCCCCAUAAUGUAAACUCAUAGGGUGACGUCAGGAUUACCAGUCUAGGCUAAAUCCCUUAUAGAGAGAAACGCCCAUAAUUAGCUCAGAUCUGAAUUGCCAGUCCAGGCUAAAUUCAGACCCUAAUCGGAUUACACAUUUGGGCUAAAUCCACAAUGCACACAUAUUCUUCGGGAGGCUCAAUCACUCAAAAAGAACACCCGUCUGGGCUAGAUCCUUUCUAUAUUUGAGAUCAACGGAUUACCUGUCCGGGCUAAAUCCUUUUCUGCAACACAUGCAGGAUCUCAAGUCAUGUAAGCCAUGGUUUAUCCAUCGAAUUUCCCUUUUUGAGUUCAACCAGGACAUUUAUUAUCAUAUCAUUCUUAUUAACACAUUUCAUGGACUUUCAUGCCAUCACUAUAACCAAUUAUCAUACAUUCGUAAAACAUGCAAGUAGACAUAUUAAUGGUUUACUUAAAGUUAUUCGAACUUACCUGGUACUCGUUUCGGUUUCGCGUUUCGGUUAUUCCGAAACUUUUUAUUUUUCUCGAUCGACCUCCAAAAUUUGUUCCUCGGGGUCUAUAACAAUAAAAAUGAAUCAUUAAUACCUCACAUUAUUCUUUUCGAGUCUAAAUUUCACCCCAGACAAAAUGAUCGUUUUGCCCCUAACUUUUCACAUUAUUUACGAUUUAGUCCCUAGGCUCGUAUGAUGAAAUGCAUGAAUUUUUUACAUUACCCAAGCCUAGCUGAAUGUUCUUUCCUCUUAUGGCAGCCCACAUUUUUCCAUUAUUUCACAUUUCUACCACAUAUUUUACAACUUUUGCAAAAAGGUCCUUUUAGGGGUUUUUCAUGAAAAUCACCUAGAAAAAACAUGUUUAACACACAUCCAAAUUUCAUAUUCCUCCUAAUUCAUCAAAGAAUAAACAUGUCACACGUGGGUCACUUUACAUACAUGAACCCUAACUCAAAAUAUGGGUAGAAAUGGAGAGAGUAAGUUACCGAGAUUUUAAAAAUACGAAGAACACUAAAAACGGGGCUUGGGAGCACUUACUAUUAAGCUUGAAAAUGUUGAAAACCCUAGCUAUGGAGGGCUUGUGAAAUUCAGCUAGAUGAGGGAGAGGAAUGGCUGAUUUUUGCCUUCAUUUUCUGAUUUUAUUUCAUUAAUUAGCCAACUAACCAAAAUGCCCUUAAGCCAUUUCUUUCAAAUUUUAUCCAUACAUGCCCAUUUUUGUCCAAAAACUUAGAAAUUGGGAAAAUUUCUCUUUAAUGACUUCUAAUUAAUAAUCUAAAGCAAUUUCAAGCAAAUUGCUUCUAGAAUCCAAGUUUUGCAGUUUAUUCAAUUUGGUUCUUAUUUUCCAAUUGGACACCUUACUCAUCGAAUUUCUUCAUGAAACUUUAACACAUGCAUAUUUUCAUAUUAUAGACCUCAUAAUAAUCAUAAAAUAAAUAUUUCAAUAUCAGAUUUGUGGUCCCGAAACCACUGUUCCGACUAGGCCCUAUUUUAGGAUGUUAUACAUUCAUGCCAAACCGCUGUAGUACUUUUUUCAAAUAUUGCUUCUGAGACAAGCAAACUCUGCCAUGAACUCUAUCUCUACAUAUUUCCAUACCAAGAAUCUUUUUAGCUUCACCUAUAUCUUUCAUCUCAAACUCAAGGUUGAGUUGAGUCUUUAAUCUCUCAAUUUCAACUUUACUCUUAGAUGCUAUCAACAUAUCGUCAACAUAUAAGAGGAAGUAUAUGAAAAUUCCUUCUUGUAGCUUCUAAAAAUACACACAAUGAUCAAAUUUACUUCUUGUAUACCUUUUCCCUUUCAUGAACUGAUCAAAUUGCUUGUACCGCUGCCACUAAUUAAACCCGUGUCAUAAAUAUCUUUGGUAUACCAAAUGCUCGUCUAAGCUAAACAUGUAGUCAUGUUGGAUUAGCCAUCUGGUCUAAACCUUUAAUGGCACAUUCGAUUGCUUGGUCAAGCUGAAAAUGUACAUGUAAGGUUACUCGUUUGGACUAAACCUUUAAAAUGGCAUAAGGUUACUCGUUUGAGCUAAACUUGUGUCACAUGUAUCUACGAGUUCGUAACAAAUAUUGAAUUUUGAUAAUCAUCAGUAAUCAAUUCAUAUCAGUGUGCACAAGACCUUAUUUACAUAUCAAUCGCAUCAAAACAUUAAUUAAGUUCACCCGAGUAUAUUUCAUACACAUAUAUAUUUCUUUACAAUUUAGUCAAAGUCUCACCUUCUGUACCAAAUCACAAAUAAUUCAAAUUACAACCAAAUAUAUACAUAUUCAUAAUUCAAAUAUAUAGAAAUUUAAAUAUAAUCAUACCAUAUGAACCUAGAAAACAACAAGCAAUCAUAUUCUUUAUGUACUAAUCAAUUACUAACACCUAGUUGUCACUUACUCAGGAUUGGUGUAAGUCAAACUAUGAACGUCACAAGUGAAUAAAUCUAUAGAUGAAUUCAGGAUUUAUGCGACUUAGGUCUUGUCCAAUGUGUUGUUAAUCCAGACAAUUACAUCUAUAUCUCUCUCUUCUGGGAGUUAUCCAUUCUAAUACCUAAGAUUAAGUAUCUCCCACUUGGACUUGAUAAAUGACAUGAUAGUUUUUUAAUCAAUUUGCUCAAUUCCGAUUAGACUAUGGACCAUUUAGAUUACCUAUUAAUGUAAUUUGUCUUAUCACAUUAUGAUCUUACCACAAAAUGCAACUUAAUAUUAGUUCAAAAUUAGGUGACCAGUGAGUUCAUAUUUGUUUAUUCAUUUUUCUUUGCAUGGAAAAAACGUAUAGGACAAAUAUAAACGAUAUUAAUGUGAAUGAUGAAAUUUUAUUGAACCAAUCUAUUCAAAAAAUUAUAAUUUCAUAUAACAAGAACUACAUUAUGGGAGCUAGAUCCUAAUAAUAAACCCUUCCAAACAUCUUUUGCCAUUAGAUCAAUGCUCUUAUAAUCAAAGCCUUGCAACUUCCAAAUAAGCUUAUAUUUAACCUUACCGAGUACAAACCACUAAAAUUUUCUUGCCAUAUCAACCUGUCAUUCACAUGACCUCCUGUAAAAGGAAUCUAUAGUAUAGUAGCAUCCUCCUGUUCAAAUAUGCUUUGAAUAAAUUAUUCACUCCACCUCCCUUUUUGCAUAUUCAACAACUCUAAAACAAAUGUCACUGUGCAAGACUCAUUUUAACAAGUUUAAAUCUUCCUUAUCAUAGUCUUCAUGAGCCAUCAGUCUCCCUAUAUAAAAAUUCACCCACCACAAUGUAAACCUUCAUCCAACACUCGCUUAGUAGCCAGGAUACUUCUCCACAUUGGAGAAGGAUUUCAACCCAUUUGUGCAUCCAUAAAUGUGCCUUAAAGGAAAAUAUUUCACUCUAAAAAUUCUAGAAAUAAGUAAAUUUUCUUAAUAAAGUAGUUACCACCCUUGUUUAGCUAGCAUGGCGACAUUAAAAACUUUCUAUUCUUGGAAGCCUAUACCUCUUAUUGAUUUUGCUUCACACAACUUACCCCAACUAAGCUAAUGUAACUUUCUUUUAUAAUCUUGUCGCCCUACAAAAAAUUACACAUAAUUUAAUUUUAUGAAUUUUGAGUUGAUUUAAAUUUAAUUUUAUGAAAUUUGACCAUAGAGAUGUUUCCCAAUAUCAAAGCUAGAAAUGAACCCUUUACAACAACGAAGUUAAAUAAGAAAAAUAGCAAAGAAAUAAUCACAAGGAUCAAUCUCCAAGAUCUAUCCCUUUUCUAUCUUUUUUUUUUGUCUAGAUGAUCUCUUCAUUUAGGUUUGCAAAAACCUAUAAAUCUUCAUCUCCUAUUUUGUCUCUAAUAGCUCCAAAAGGUUAGAAAUAACUUCUUUGACAUAAAUAGAGCUUGAGUAUACAUUAAAAGUAACCAAGUGAUAUCCAAAUACUCAAGGAAGAAAUUAACAAGAAAAUCAUUUAGCUUUUCAUUUUUUCUUCUUAUCUGUUGGGGAUUGACUUGGUUAAAUAACGAACAAGUAAAAAAAAUGGUGGAAGAAAUUAAGAAGUUGAACACACAAAUUUAACGUGAAAAAAUCUCUCCAAUGAGGAUAAAAAACCAUGAGCAAAUAUAAUUUUUCUAUAAUGGAAAAAGAACGAAGAGUAUAAAAGAUAGAGAUAAAAGCUAAACCCCGAAACCUGAAAACAAAGAACCCUCAAAAUGUAAACACAAAAUUCUCUAAAAGUGUCAUGAGUUCUAAUCUUUAAUGGGUGUAUUUUUUAAUGUUGUAAAAAGAGCCUAUUUAUAGGCUUAAUUUGUAGGUCAAAUAAUAAAAUAAUCUAGACUAAUUAGAGUUCAAUUGAAACAAAUAAACAGAAUUUAACUAAGAGAUUAUCUCUCAAAUUUGACUGAAUUAUGAGGCAUAUUAAACAAAUUUCCACCUUGACUCAUAUUUUCACAACGUCAUCUUUGCCAAAUCUCGCCACGGGCCUAUCUUGAACUAUGCAGAGAAUUAACUAAGUCGAAUCUGUGCUUAGAAGCAGGAAGACUUCUAGCCUUUGAAUUGUGCAUUGCCAAAUCAAAACUAACCCGGGUAUGAUUUUCAUGAACAUAGUGCCCUAACUUUGCAAAACCUGUAUCCAAAAGAUAACCUCUUUUCAACGAAACGGUAAUAUUUUUUCCCUCUUAUAAUCAAGUUGCCUCUGCUCCAAACUAGUUGACUUCAACUCCGUAAUGAACGAGGGACAUCCAAUUUCACCUGUCACUGUAGAACCUUCCAGAAUAUAAAGAUUGUCAGUCCUUUUACCUUUUAACAAACCGAGAGGCCCAUGAGACACAGUAAUACCGCUCAACUUGAUGUUGAUUCUGCAACCUUUCGAAUCUAAAAUAUUCAAGGAGAUGAAAUUCUUUCAUAAAUCAGGUACAUAGCUGACAUCUGAGAGUGUCCUAAUCGUCCCAUUGUGUAUCCUAAUUUUAACAAUACCAAUACCGGUUACCUUACUAGAUGAAUAUUUCUCAUCCACACAACUCCACCUUCAACCAAAUUGUACGUGGAGAACCAUUCUUUGUUGGGACACAUGUGGAAAGAACAUCUCGAAUCUAUAAUCAACUCGAACGUAAGCUUGGAGCUAUUGCUCGUUGACAAUAAUAAGAAAUUCUCAUCACUUUUAUCAACAAAAUUAGCACCAACUACAUCUUUCUCAUUACUUUUAGCAUCCAUUUUAUUUCGCAGUUUAUAGCAAUUUGCUUUGACGUGACCUAACUUCUUACACUAGUAACACCUUUUGUCUUGCUUCUUUAAUGCUACCAAAACGGAAGCUUGCCUAUCUUCCUUGCUAUUUGAACCAAACUCAUUGUCGAGUUUGUCUUUACUCAAGAAAUGACCCUUCAUAUCCUCAAAGAAGAGUUUGUCUUUUUCAUAAAUUAGGGUUUCCCUGAAAGUGUAUAAAGAUGGUAAAGAGCAGAAUAAUAGUAUAGCCUGAUCUUUAUCAUCAUUCUUAACCUUAAAAUUAUUUAAAUCAUUCAAAUGAGUGAUAAAUUGAAUAAUUUGAUAUCUAAAAAGCUCACCUUCUUUCAUGUGAAACGUAAAUAGGUGUUUCAACACUAAAAUGUUAGCUAGAGUUUUAGUUGCAUAAAGAGUUUCUAACAUUUUCCACAAGGCGGAUAAGGUUUUCUCCAUCAAUACCUCCUGCAAUACCUUAUACACGAGGCACAACUGGAUUACAGAUAGGGCCUUUUCAUCAAGCUCUUCUCAUUCUGCCUGAUUUAGAUUCUCAAGCUUUUUCCAGUAACGACCUUUUCCAGGCCGGUCUAAACUAGAAUUGCCAUCAUCCGAACUUGCCACAAAUUGAAGUUUGUGACACCAUUGAACUUCUCAAAGUCAAACAUUGUUGUUGUGAUCUCUGAAUGGGCUAAUCCACGAAAAUUAGACUAGUUAUGAUACCACUUAUUGGGGAUCGACUCGAUUAAGCAACGAACAAGUAAAAAAUAGCAGAAGAAAUUGAGAAAUUGAUCACACAAAGUUAAUGUGGAAAAACCUCUCUAAAGAGUAUAAAAAAUCAUGGGCAAAGAUAAUUUUACUAUAAUGGCAAAAGAACGAAGAGUAUAAAAGAUGGAGAUAAAAACUGCACCCUGAAACCCAAAAACAAAGAACCCUUAAAACGUAAACAUAAAAUUCUCCAGAAGUGUUAUGAGUUCUAAUAUUUAAUGGGUGUAUUUUCUAAGGUUGUAAAAGAGCCUAUUUAUAGGCUAAAUUCGUAGGUCAAAUAAUAAUAAAAUUAUCUAAACUAAUCAGAGUUCGACUGAAAUAAACAAACAACGUUUAACUGGGAGAUUGUCUCUCAGAUUUGACUGAAAUAUGAAGCAUACUCAACAUUAUCUUAUAUGCAAUUGAUUGGGCUUCAUUGAAGAUCACACAUGUGUUUUAUUGUAUUUGUAAGAACUUAAUUUUGCAAAAUCUCACCUAUUAAGGGCUUAUAAUUUGUUUGCUCUUUGUAUUAAAAUGGCACUUAAGAAAGAAAAAAAACUUUAAAAGGAGAUUAUAAGUUCUAAAUUGAGCUUUAAAAGUAAAAGAGGUUUAUAUCUUAACCUUUAUAAAAUACAAGGCUUAAAGCAUCGCUUACCUCUUAAAGUAUACCAUUUUUUUAGAUUGGUACUAAUUUUUUUUUGGCUCAAAUUGGUACAAAAAGUAUGAUUUUCUUUCUUGAUUCAGUCUUUUCUGUCAACACCGUUAAAAAACAUUUAAUUGUUCCUAACCAAUUAUAGCAUGAAAGUGUUAUUAUUUCUCACGCCAUUAAUCUAUGUGGAAUUAAAUAUGGAAUCUAAUUUGAAAUUAAAAAAAAAAACAUAAGUACAUGUGUUUUUAAAAAAUAAAAAAAUUAAAUAAAUUUGAUUUACUUUACCUCUAUCCAAAUAGAUUCCAAAAUAGAAACCUCAAAAGCAACAUUUUAACAACUAGUUUGGUCCCUAAGUAAGAUAAGGAUAAUGAUGAGAGUUUUGAGAAUGUGAUUGCCAAUCCUCACUCCUCCUCCUUUCCAAAUUCAACCAACAUAAAUUAGGAAGGGAUAAAACAUAGCAUGAGAAUGAUUUGCUGAUAGUGUAAUGCACAUGAAGAUCAAAGUAAAAAAUGCCAACUUUAUACUGCACUUAGUUAUCCUGAAGGCAUGUCUAAAUCAUUGUUUAAAGGUUUAUCGAAAUAGCUGUUUAAACAAGGGAUAUAACAUGGUGACUAAACCUGCAUUUUAAGGAGUUGUUCGAACAUGAGGAGAAACUUCAAAUACAAAGGCAACUAAUGUCCCAACACAUGCAUACCACUAAUUAAAAAGGUUAAAAUAUGUCAUAGGUCCUUGUACUCUUUACAAAUUUAGAAUUUAUAUUUUCAAGAAUUUAGUCUCAUUUUUUAGAUUUCAAAAUUCAAGUCUAAUUGUUAACACAAUUUGAAAUUAAAAAAAAAAAAUACUCGCAAGCAAUGUGACUAAAAAAUGGGAGUUGUAAUGUACUUGAAUUUCACAAAAUAAUUUUAAUAAUAUUAACAGUUGAGCUUAAAUUUUAAAAUAUUAUAAGCAAAAAUAAAAAAAUCCUAAAAAGACAUAAACUUAUAACAUAUUUUAUCCCAUUAAAAGCUAAAACUUGGAUGCAAAAGCCAUGUGAAUAUAAUGUAAAUAGAAGGUAAGAAAACUCAUGACAGAUCACAUAAUAUUCCCAACUCUGGUUGGCAGUUGUAGAACCUUAUCUAGCCGACCCAAAAUAGAAAUCUAAUUAACCUAAUUGGCCUUUGGAGACAUUUCAACACACAGUUGUAUUUGCUAAGAAACUCUCGUGACUCUUCGAACCCACCGAGUCCUGACAAUUCUCAAUCACGGGUAUAAUACCUCGUGGUGCCACCCUAAUUAAACUAUUCUUUUUUUGGUCUGAAGAUGGAACAUUCAUUGAUCAACAACCCUUUUGAUCACUGUAUAAAACCACCCCCAAAAUUUUUACAAACACAAGCUCAUCCAAUCACUUUGGUUUAGUAGUAAAGUACUGAAGCCAUGGCAGCAGGGAAGGUUGUUGUUCUGAUGGUAAUGGUCGUAUUAAUGGUUGAGGGCUCAAGGGCAAUGACCUUGUGUCGCAUGAAUGAUCAGGGACUUGAGGCGUGCAAGCCAUCGGUGACACAGCCGAACCCGGUCGACCCAUCACCCGAGUGUUGCAAGGCUCUGAAAGGGGCUGACUUGACAUGCUUGUGUUCUUAUAAGAAUUCGGUGUGGCUAGGUACUUUGGGGAUUGAUCCAAAACUUGCCUUGGAUUUGCCUCCAAAGUGCAAGCUCCAAAUGCCUAGUGUUUGCUAAGGUACAAUGCAUUAAUUGUUCAUAAUAAAUUUUCAUGGAUUACUACUGUUAUUUUCUAGUACCAUGAUCUUCUAGCUAGUAUAGUGACCUAUCUUUCAUGAUAAGUUUGGUUUGACUUAAAUCCACUUAAUAUGUCAUUUUCAUCAAAGUGCCAAUUGUGACAUAUACUGAAACCUGAGGAUUGCAGGACAACUGGGGCAUCAAUUUUUGGCACCAACUAUACAAAAUACAAAUUAUAACCAUGCAUUUCUGUCAUUUAUUUGUAUAUCUUUGACAUAUAUGUACUGUUUCAGGUUUCCAGAAGAGCAUGAAGCUGCUUUCUCAUGUUUGUUGGACUUUCACAAGUUUCUUUGUAUUGUUUUGAUGUGAAAAUCUUUGCAAAUCUUGUAUCUGUUUCGUGUUAAAUUAUUAUUUGGUUAUUGAAGUUUGUACGGACAAGUGAGUGGAAUUGGCCGCCUUCUGCUCUUUUUAAUUCUCAUUACUCUUUUUAUGUUUUUGGUGUUCACAACUGCCCCAUUUUCUUCUUGUUUAAAAGAAACCAACUUCAAAUUUGGAAAGAUUGAAAAGAUGAGGAAAUUUACAUGGAAACUUACUUAACUUCAACGGUAAUUCCAAUGAUUUUACAAUCUGAUCAAAUUUGUCAGUUAAAUUUGUUCAAUUGGAGUAUCAUUUCGGAAUAAAGAGUUGAAUCGAUUGACUCACAAAUUAGUUAGAUAAAUUGAAUUGGUUGAUUAGGCACUUUGAACCAAAUAAUUUAAUUUUUUUUAAUUUUUAAUAAUUUAUUUAAUUAAAUCACAUUAAUUGAUUGAAUCGAUUAAACUGAAAAUCGAUGAGAUAACUGAUUUUAUCACCGACUUAAUUUUUAAGGUUUAACAGAAAAUUUUUAAAAGUUAAAUUUUGUUUAUCAUUAUUAUUAACUUGAACAAAAUUCUCAAAGAACGAAAAGUGAUGUAUGAUAUCUCCCUAUUUAAAAUUUCAAAGUGGGUGAGGGGGAAAGUUGCCGUUAAACUCGUAUCAUAUCUCCCUAUUUAAAAUCUCACUCAAGCAAUUACUCAAGUAAUUUGUCAUAUAUCAUAUAUAACGAUUACCCAAGUAAAUUAAUCACUUAAUAAUAAUAGUAUAUCAUAUAUAUCAUAUUAUAUAUAUAUUCUAAGGUUUUUGUGUCCCAAUUAUCCAAUCCACAUAUGGCAACAUAAUAUAUCUAUAUAUCCAAUUUUUUAAAUUUGUAAAUAAUAAUAUUUUUAAAUUAUAAUAUGUUUUUAAAUUAAUACAAUAUAAUUUUAAAAUUAUAAUAAUUAGAUUUUACACCUCACUUUACUUGCGAUGUCAACCUUUAAUUAUAAUAUAAAUAAAUUUAUAUUAUAAUUAUAUUAAAUAAUUAUUAUACUUUAGUAUUUAUGCAAAUAAAUUUAGAAAUAUAUUCAAAUGAAAUAUAAUAAAUUGAGAAAUCAAAAACUAAAAUAAUUAUAUAAUUUGUCAAACCCCUUUAAAUAUUUCCAUCGAAUUCAAAAAAAAUAAAUAAUUUAAAUAAUACAAAUAAACUCCCAAGUGAUACAAAUACAAGAAAAAAACACAAUCCAAAAAAUUAUACACAAACCCUGCACUAGGUAGAGUCCUAGGAAAAGAAGAUGAGUCUUAUUAAGAGCCAAUUUUAAAUAUGCAUAUUCUCAUUACCACACUUCUUAUAUUUAAUCGGUCAACUGUGGAUCAUCCCAUACAUAUAUUUAACAAUUAUAAUAUUACAUAAUAUAAAUGUUAUAAACAACAAUAAAACAAAUAUAUAAGGAGAUGGGUAAUUAAAAUAAAAUUGUCAAUCAAUAUUUUCAUAGUUCUAUUUCUAGAAAAUAAAUGAAAAACAAAUAUUAUAUAGUUUUUCAAUGCCAUCGCUCUAUCUUCUUCUCAUCAUGGGCUCCUUUUGGAAAAAAAAUAUAUUUAAGUCCUAUAUCUGUUUCUGACUCACAAGAAUUCUAUGAAUUUAAAAAAUUGUCAUACAUGGAGAUGAUAGUCCAAGAUCUAUUUCCUAAGAACCAUAACCUUGACAAAAAAUAACAAUUAUAUAAAAAUAUAUAAUAUUACAUCCAUUCUCAUAAAUAACUCAAAACAUGCAUAAGAUCUAAAAAAUGUCACUUUCUAUGUAAGUAUCUAGUAAAAAUUUAUUAAAUCAUCCAUUAAAAAAUAGAAGGGAGACAAUAUUGAGAUAAACUUCGUUAUCCAAAAUGAUGAAAUGGAGGAUAAUUUUUUGAAAAAAGAUAAAAAAUUUAUUAUGAUACUAAAGCUAACCAUGCAUACAAGGAUGAUGAUUUUAAAGGUCUUAAUGAUAUAACUUAUUUGUAUGUUUUUAAUUUUUCUUCAUAAGAAAUAGUUUUAUAUAUUUUCCUAUGACUAUUUGCAAUAUUUCUAAUUAAACAAUGAUUUCUUUUAAAUAAAAAUAUGAAUUUUUUUUAUUCUUUCAUUAAACCCAAGAAGAAAGACAUGUCACGUAGAUUUUGCUACAACAUAUUCUAUCUUUAAAGGUAAAAGAUUAUUAUUAUUUAAUAUUAUAUUAGAUAAAUAUCAAAGUAAUAAAAGGCUCCAAAAGAGCUAUGAUAUUAAAUGUCUUGCAUUUCUAAAAUGAAUAUGGUCCAUUCAUCCACCAUGUGGAUGGUUUUGAUAUUAUAUGAUUCUGGUAUGCGUAUCUAGAAAAUAAUCACAUAUGUAAUAUCAACUUACAACCUGUCAUUUGCGAGUUUGUUUGUUUAAAUAAUUAAUUUAAGAUUAUACAAUUAAGAUAAUUCAUUUUGCUAAUUCUGGUGAGUUUAUGUUCUAUGUUUACAAUGAUUAUUGUAUGUCAAUUGGGAUAAAAAAUUAAAUAUCUUGUAGCUUAUGUUCACACACAAAACAAUUUAGCUAAAUUGUUUAUCAAGUGCCUCCAAUUAAUAGUUAGGCCAUUACUUAUGAGAACAAAACUCCCUAUUACAGCUUAGGAUAUGUUAUUUUGCAUGCAACAACACUUAUACAUGUUAGGCCAACAAGUUAUAAUAAAUACUCCCAAUUACAAUUGGCUUUUGGUCAGGAGCCAAAUAUUUUCCAUCUUAGGAUUUUUGGAUGUGUAAUAUAUGUUCCAAUUGCUCCACCAUAACACACAAAGAUGAAUGAGCCCUUGUAGGAGGUUAGGAAUGUACAUUGAUAUAAAUCUCCUUCUUUUAAUAAAAAUCUUUGAGAUAUUAAUUAGAGAUUUAGUUAUGACAUAAGUUGUCAAUUAUUAUGAGAUAGUUUUCCGAACAUUAGCGGGAGAGAAUAAAAAGUUGAACGAAUAAAAUACUUGGAAUGAUUUAUCAUUAUUUGAGAUCCUCAUAAAAAGCAAUGUGAACCAAAAGCUCAGUAGAUAAUUUAUUUUACAAAUAAACUCACAGGUUCAUUUAUUGACAUAAAGAGAAUUACAAAAUCUCAUAUACCAAUUGAAAAUGCUUAAAUACAAAUUGAUGUCCCAAUAGGAAAAACUGUUAGCGUAAAAGAAAGUAAUCCACGCUUGAAGCGUGGAAGACCAGUUGGUUCCAAAGAUAAAAUUCCUCAUAAAAGGAAAAGAGAAAAUAUUCAAGAUGGUCAUAUUGUGGAGGCAAGUGCUCGAAAAGAGGCCAAAGAUAUAACUAAUAAUAAUAUUAAAGCCCAGAAGAGGUUCAAGUACUUGAAAAUAGUGAUAAUGAAGAGAUCUCGAUAAGUUAUGUUACUUCAAGAAAAAGAUGGAACUGGAAAAAUGUAGUUGUCGACAACAAUUUUGCUUAUAAUGUUGCUAUUGAAAUAACAAAAGAAAAUGAGGAUCCUGAGCCUAAAUCUAAUGAGGUAUGUAGAAAUAGAAAAGAUUGGCCAAAAUGGAAAGACACAAUUCAAGUAGAAUUGAAUUCACUUUCUAAACGUAAGGUUUUUGGACAUGUAGUCCAAACACUUAAAGAUGUAAAGCCGGUAGGAUAUAAAUUGGUAUUUGUCCGAAAAACGAAAUGAGAAAAAUGAAGUUGUAAGAUAUAAGGCACGACUUGUACCACAAGGAUUUCCGCAAAGACACGACAUGUUGGAAAAUUAGGUUUGAAAAAUGCAGCGGAACAUAAGUUUAAGGGAAAAACCAAAGUUUUAAUUUUUUUUUUCCAAAAAUAAGAACUUGGUUCUGAUAUCUAAUAUAAUAAGCACUUAAUCAAAAUUAUACCUUUUUGAUUCGUCUAGGAUGAACGCCUUGACCGAGUAGUCUUCUCCGCUAUCCUCAAGCUUAUGUCUACUGAGUGUUGGCUCGCUUUGAAUAAAAAAAUCACAAAAUUACCAGCUGGAUUAUUUGUAAUUUCUCUAAACUUCUAGGUCAAGUUGUAAAUAGGAAAAAUAUCUCUAAAAAUCUUCUAAAAUAAUUUUUUUAGAAAAUUUUCUCUCUACAACUUUCUCUUAAAUUCAAGUAUGUAAAAAAUAAUGACCCAUGACUCUCUUUAUACAAGGAGAGUUUAGAGAGUUCAACUAUGAUUAAACUUAAUCACUUCAAUAUUAAAUUAAUAUAAUACUUAUCAAGAUAAAUAUUAGAUUAAAAUUAAUAUUAAAUCUAUUAUAUUAAUAGAAUAUUUAUCUAUAAAAUAAAUAUUAAAUUAAAUUUAAUAUUAAGAUAAUCACUUUAAUAUUAAAUUAAUAAAAUACUAUUAAGAUAAGUAUUAAAUUAAAUUUAAUAUUAAAUAUAUUAAAAUAAUAUUACUUUUGAAAUAGUUAAUCUGAAACCGAAUUAUUUGAUAGAGUCCUAGUAGGAGUGUGAUUCCUCCACUACUCAACUGCCGAAUGACCAACCGCUGGCCACCAGAAUGCUGUCGUCGACAUCAUCGUGUUCAGUGGUGCCAUCGUAGGUGUGACACCCUCACGGUACCUUAAGCUAGUUUGGUUGUUGCCGGUUCGAUCUGGGCCAAUUUUUAGGUCUCGAUUUUGGGUUAUCAGGCCCAUUUUUUUAUCUCAAGUCCAAUUUUCAAAUUCAAUUACCCAUUGAGCCAAAAUAAUUUAAAAAAUUAUCAUUUUAAUUUUAAUUAAUUUGAUUAAUUUAAUUUUACUUGAUCAAAAUUAAUUUUCCCAAAGAUCACUAAGAUUUUUUAAUUAAUUUUUCAAGAAAAUUCUUUAAUCAAAUUUUCUAGUUGAACAAUUCUCACGAUUGCUUAAUUUAAUCCUACAUCGAAUACAUCGACUAAAUUAAAUUAUUUCAAAAGUUGUAGAAUUUUCUUCUGAUUCAAAUGCAGUCUGAUCAAAUUUUUGUUGAGCUAGCGAAGGGACCAAUCAGAUAUAUACAAUUAGGCUCGAGUAAUUGCAAUUAUGUCUAGAAGCAUCAUUCUGAUAAUUCACAAUUUACUUAAUUAUAGAGUCAGCCCACAAGAAGUACCAUGAUUGAAAACUCCUUAUUGUAUACUCUUUACAAAAGCAAUUCAUCCAAUUGCUUUGUCCAAUGAUCUCGUCAUGUGUGUGUUACCCUCAUAUGAUAUCCUUGAUUCAUUUGAGUUAAAUUCGUUCACUUAAUACAAUCCUCUUUUAUCUCAUUGUCACCAUUGUAUCUUCCUAAUUAUUAAAUGAUCACUGUCAACAAAUGACUGUUACAAAUUGUUUGUUCGAGAAAAAGCAACCUGUGGCCAUGUUCCAUAUUUAUCAAUCCAUACAAUACCAAUAAGAGGAUACCGUUAACUCUUUAAUUAAGCUAUGAACUCCAUUGUUGCUAGUAAAAUCAUUUUAUACACAAGUUAUGUACCCAACAUACUAGCUAUGGGCUCGAUUAUCUUUUGAGUAUAAGCCUCCAUUUAUAUCAAAUCACAUAAGUUACAUACGCAUGGUCAAUGACUAACUCAGGAUUUAGGUAAAUCAAACCAUGAACGUCACAAGUGAAUUAAUUCACAAGUGGAUUCAGAAUUAAUUCAACUUAGGUCUAGUUCAAUGUAUCAUUCUUCCAAUGAAUACAUCUAUGUCUCUACCCGUGGAGUCAACUGCUCUGAUAGCCAAGACUAGCCAUCUCCCCAAUUGGAAUUGUAGACAACAUAAUAAUCUGUCUAAAUAUUUGAAUAAAAUGUUCACUUUGAUUCUCUUUCAGGGUUACAGACUCGUUUAGAUUACCUAUUGAAGUAAGUUGUCUUUCUCGCAAUGUAAAUAUUAUUACAGUGCCACUUAUCAUUAAUUUGAACUUAGACAAUCAAUGAGCCAAUAUUUUCUUGUCAAAAUUUUGCUAUGCAUGCAAAACAUGAAAGACAAAAACAUAAAAGAUAUAAUCAUGAAAUGUGAAAUUAACUUUAUUUAUUUAUUUAUUCAUCGUUCAAAUACAUAGAAAGUAGUUACAUGUUUACUACAAUAUGGACACAUCUCCUAACACAACAUUGAUUACAAAGAGACAUAUUCUCCUGUGGUGGAUGCAAUCAUAUUUAGAUAUCUAAUUAGUCUAGCAGUACGUGAAAAAUUUGUGUCUAAUGGAUGUUGUUAGACUCUAUUUGUAUGGUACAGUUGAUCUUGAAAUUUAUAUGAAAAUCCUUGAAGAAUUUAAAAUCCCAAAAGGAUAUAGAGUUUUUUUUGGACAUUUUCUUGAUUAGAUUAAAGAAAAGUUUAUAUGGAUUAAAAUAAUCUGGAUAUAAGUGGUACAAUUGUCUUAGUGAAUAUUUGUUAAAAGAAUGUUAUAAAAAGGAUCCAAUUUGUCCAUGUGUUUUUAUAAAAAGGUUGGGAUCAAAUUUUGUGAUAAUUGUUGUUUAAGUUGAUGAUCUAAAUAUUAUUGGAACUCCUAAAGAGCUUCAAAAUGAAAUAAAUUAUUUAAAGAAAGAAUUUGAGAUGAAAGAUCUUGGAAAAACGAAGUCUUCUCUUGGCUUGUAGAUCAAGCAGUUAAAAGAUGAAAUUCAUGUUCAUUAGUCAACUUAUACAAAAAGGUCUUAAAGAAAUCUUACAUGGAUAAAUCACUUCCAUUGAGUACCCUGAUGGUUGUAUGAUCGUUAGAUGUGAAUAAAGAUCAAUAUUACCAUAUCUAAAUGCCAUAAGGGCAUUGAUGUAUCUUGCAAACAACACAAGACUUGAUAUAGCUUUCACUAUAAACUUAUUAGUAAGGUUUAGUUUUUCUCCGACACGUAGACAUUAAAAUGCAUUGACUCAAAGAUGUAAUGUGAUGUUGUUAUUAAGGGGAGUCAAAUACACGUUGCACUCUUUUUAUUUAACCAAGGUUUUGUCCCACUGGGUUUUCCUGGUAAAAGAUUUUAACGAGACAACUUGUAAUUGGAGAUUUUGAACUCUUUUUCCUUCAUUAGGUUUUUAUCCCACAUGGUUUUUCUUAAUAAGGUUUUAAUGAGGCACACUUUCAUUGAUGGACAUCCAAGAGGAGUGUUGUAAAAUGAAUAUCUAUAUAACUCCCAUAACCCUGAAUAAUUCAUUUUCUUGUAACUCAUUGAUGUAUUGUGCAAACAACACAAGACCUGCUAUAGCUUUCAUUGUAAACUUGUUAGCAAGAUUUAGUUAUUCUCCAACGUGUAGACAUUAGAACGCGUCAACUCAAAGAUAUAAUGUAAUAUUGUUAUUAAGAAGAGUCAAACAUGCGUUGCACUCUUUUAUUUAACCAAGGUUUUGUCCCACUGUGUUUUCCUGGUAAAGGAUUUUAACGAGACAACUUGUAAUAGGAGAUUUUGAAAUUUUUUCCUUCAUUAGGUUUUUAGCCCACAUGGUUUUUCCUAAUAAGGUUUUAACGAGACACGCUUUCAUUGAUGGGCAUCCAAUGAGGAGUGUUGCAAAAUAGAUGUCCAUAUAACUCUCAUAAUCUCGAAGAAUUCAUUUUCUUGUAACUUUUAUAACCCCUAAAAAUUUAUAUAGUACAUUAAUUAUAUGUUUGUAACCUAAUGAUUGAGGCCCUAUAAAUAGAAGACAUGUAUAAGCUUUUUGAAUCCAAAGUAAAAGCUAAAACAUCUUUUCAUUUUUCUAUUCUUCUCUCUUGUUCAUUCUAUAAUUCUUUUUGUUUUAUAAUAAUUUUCAAAUUAUAAUAUGUUUUUAAAUUAAUACAAUAUAAUCUUAAAAUUGUAAUAACUAGAUUUUACACCUCACUUUGCUUAGGAUGUCAACUGUUAAUUAUAAAUAAAUUUAUCUUAUAAUUAUAUUAAAUAAUUAUUAUAUUUUAAUAUUUAUACAAAUAAAUUUAGAAAUAUAUUCAAAUGAAAUACAAUAAACUGAGAAAUCAAAAACUAAAAUAAUAGUAUAAUUUGUCAAACCCCUUUAAAUAUUUCUAAUGGAUCCAAAAAAUAAAUAAAUUAAAUAAUACAAAUAAACUCCCAAGUGAUACAAAUACAAGAAAAAAGUACAAUCUUGAGAGAGAGGGGGGGAGAGAGGGGGGGUGAGGGAGGGAGAGGGAGAGAGAGGAAGGAGGGAGGGAGAGAGAGGGGGAGAGAUGGAUAGAAUAGGAAAGCGGGAGAGGGAGAGAGAGGGAGGGAGGGGGAGAGGGAGAGUAAGGGAGAGGGUGGAAGAGGGGGGAAGGAGAGAGAUGUUCCUUAUCCAAAUGCUUAAUGUUUUUAACAUAAAAUUGAUACAACCAUUAUACUUUAAUAUUUUAAAAAUUGUUAUUUAAUUUAAAUAUAAUAUUUAUUUGUUAAAAUUUUGGUACAAUAUUUGAAUAUGUAAAUUUAAAUAUUUUAUUUUUCAUUAAAAUUUGAAUAUAUAAUCAAAAUUGCACCAAUAUUUAAAAUUUGGAAAAAGAAAAAAUACUUAGAAAUUGUAAAAUUUGAAAAACUAAAAGAUACUUAGAAAUUGUAUAAGUUAAAAAUGCUUUUCUUUUAAAUGUUAUACUUAAUUGAGAAAUUGUGUUGAUUAUACUUAUUUUACGGGCAUUAGUUUAAUAAAUUUAAGAGAAUAUAAAGCCAAUUUUAGAUCUUAGUUACUUCAAGGGCAUUGAUUUAAUAAAUUAUAUUUUUUAUAGAAAAUUAAGAAAAUAAUAGUAACAAGCAAAACGUAGAUGAAAAGUACGGGAUAAAUUUUCUCAUAUUCCAAUUUCAUUUACAAGGAGUUUUAUUUGUAAGCUCAUUUACAUUCAAUGAAAGCCUCGUUUAGGAAUGCUUUUCAAAGUGCUUUUGAGAAAAAAAACCACUUUUGGGGAGAAACUAAAAUUUUUAGCUUCUGAAAAAAGUGCUUUUGGGCCAAUUUUUGGCUUGGGAGAAGUAUGUUUUCUCUCAAAAAGCAGCAUGUUUAGGAAUGUUUUUAUCCUAAAAGUGUUUUUUGUCUCAAAAGUGAUUCUUAGAAGUAAUACUAAACUGGCAAGAAGUCUAAGUAAAUGAGCAUUCUUAAUUGUUUCAUUGAAACAUCUAAGUUACUCUCACAUUUAUAAACGAACUAGAGAUUUUAUCCCGUCACUUUAACAAGGGUUUAAUGAGGUUAUAGACAUCUAUUAUUUAUCUAUUUACAACACUCCUCCUUAGAUGUCUAUUAAAAAAAGUGCCUCAUGAAAACCUUCAUUUGGAAAAAUCUCAUGGAAUAAAAACCUAAUGAAGUAUAAAAAGCACACAAUCUCUCAUUGUGCGUUGCCUAAUUAAAAACCUUUACCAAAAAAACUCAAUGGGGCAAAACCUUGGUUAAAGGAAAAGAGCACAACAUAUUUUGGACUUCCCCUAAUGAUUAUGUCACUUAACAUUUUUUAGGCAGUGCAUUCCAAUUUUAUAUAUCAGCCUUUCAAAUGUAGUGGUUGUUAAUGUCUUAAUAAACAAAUAUGCUAAAUUUCCACUAGAACGAAGUUGUUGAACUGCAAUAUCACCUUUCUUCUUUAGAUUAUGAGUGAAGAAUACCUUUGGUGAAAUAUAUUUUGUUCUAUCUCCUUUAUGUAUCCUCCCUUUAAUUGAGCUAUACACUUUGUUGACACCUUUUCUUGUAGAGGAAAAUUGCACAUCUUUUGGAUAUGUUGAGUCAUUAGCCUUAGCUGAACACACUCUCAGCUAACCUCAUGUGUUGCAAUUAUUUAUGCAUGAUUUGAAGAGACAUCGAUUAAUGUUUAUUUUUUUAAUGCAAUAAUAUGGUUGUACUGUAACACCCUAAUACCCGACUCAAUCGUUGGGUCUGAGCUACAAGAUGUCACAUUCGUUGUCAGAGUAACUAUGAUCAUUUAUAUUCAAUUUAAUACUAUUAAACAUUCAAAUAUGAGUAACACAUGUGUAUAAUAUGACAUGUAAUCAUUUCUGGGUCUUACACGAGCUUAGAAAAUCUCUUUUGCUAACCUGAGGUCGAAUUAGGACCAAAUUGUAAAAAAUUCAAAGUAUUGGGUUGGCAUCGCAACUACGGGGGUUCUUCAUUGUGACCCAACAUACUGGCUAUUGGAUCUGGUGCCCUAACUGUAGUAUUUUCGUCUAUGUAUACUUGUAAUUUUUUCGAAUAGAUAGGUUAAUAAAAUAAUUCGUGGAUUACAUAAAUAUACCUUGUAUAAUGUCCUCAUGUGCUUUUUGCAUGCAAAGCAAAAUAGAAGGAAAUAUUGACUCACUAGUUGUCUAAUGUUUAAACUAAUACUAACCGGUAUUACGUGGUCAGAUCAUAAUAUGAAAAGACAUCUUGUAUUAGUAGAUGAACCUAAACAUGUCCUUAGUCUAAUUGGAAAUGAGCAAACCAAUUGGAAGACUAAUAUGUCAUAUAUCAAGUCUAAUUAGGGAGAUGCCUUGUCUUGGACAUCAGAGCAGAUGACUCCCAAAAUAUGGAGACAUAGAUGUGACUGACUGGAUUGACAAUACAUUGAACUAGAACCAAGAAAAAUAGAUCUUGAAUCCAUUAUGGAUUUAUUCACUUGUGACAUUCAAAGUGUGGCAAACCUAAAUCCUAAAUGGAUGAUGGACUGUAUAUGCGUGAUUCGUAUAUUUUGAUGUAAGUAAAAGCUUGAGUUCAAAUAGAUAAGGAACUGAAAGUUGGUGUGUUGGGUAUAUGGCUUCUGCAAUAUGUAGUGUCAUUCACAAUAGUGGAAUUCAUAGCCUGAGAUAUGGGUAAAUGAUAUAUUUUCAUUGGCUUUACAUGGUAGAUGAAAAGUAAACAUGGCUAUAGGUCGUUCUUCUUUGUGAUGAAUGUUUUGAUUACUAUUUGAUAUUAAUUGACUUUUCAUGAAGGAAGAUGUAAUGGUUACGAUGAGAUAAAAUAGGAUCAUAUUAGGAGAGCAGAUUUAUCCCAACGAUUUUCAGAAUAGCCUAUGAGGGUAACACACUUAUGACAAGGUCAUUAGAUGAGCAUCGAUCGAGUUGCUUUCGUAACGAUAUGCCAUUAGGGAGAGCUUAGUCAUGAUACUAUAGUAGAAUGACUUCAUGAUAAAAUGAGUUUAUAAUUAAUAGGUGAAAAGAUGAAAAUUAUAAAUCAUUUGAGCCCUAAUCGCAUAUGUCCAAUCAUUUGAGCCCUAAUCAUAAAUGAAUUGCAUGUUGAAUCAAAUAAAUAGAAAUGGAUAGAAAUGAUAAAGUUAAAGAAAUGGGAAACAAUUGGAAAUGAAUGACGUUUUCUCUAAAUGAAAAUGACCUGAAAAUAAAUUUAUGAUUUUUUGAACUAUCAUUUAAUUAAUUAAAUAAUUGGAGUUCAAAAUUUGAAAUAAAUUAAUUGGUAAUAAUGAAUUCGUUGAAUGUAGAAAUAUGAAAUAUAUUUUCUCAUAGAUUCUUUUACGGUAAAGUCAUUAUGAUUUUAAUGGAAUUAGAAUUGGGUUGAAAAAAUUAUUUAAUUGGGAAAUUAAUUAAUAUUUAUUUUGGAAAUAAAAAAAAGUAUUGGGUUGGAUUGUAUUAUAAAGUACUGGUUAAAAGCCUAGGAAAUACUUAUAAUUGGACCCAAUAUGGGAGAGGUUGAUCUGUCGUAAUUUGAUAUGUCAAAUUAGGCUCCCUAUUACACUUAACGAGCUUGUUUCCAAGCACUUUAGGUGUUUUUGUUAUGUUUUUACUUAAUUUUUGUUAUUAGCUUUAAUAAGUGUGUUAGUGUGCUUUUAUCACUUUUGAGGCCGAAAAUGGCCAAUUAUGCCAUCGAGGACCUAAUGGUUGGAUGAUUGUUGUAGGGAGUUACCGGAGGCCAGAACGUGAGCAGAAACAUCACCUAGAAGGAAUGUUAUCGCGAUAUCUAAUUCUAGAAGUCGUGAUACAUCCAACAAUUCUGAAUUGAAGAGGAACAAGGCUUUUCCUAGGGGUAUCGCAAUCCCAGAUGUGGGUAUCGCAAUAACAGCUCCCAAGGACUCCCCCAUUCCAAGACUAUCAAGGAUAUCGCGAUAUUAGGCCCUGGGUAUUGUGAUAUCACUUUUGAAGGGAGACAAAAUAUGACUAGAAGAGUAAUCCUUGUCCAACAUGUCCCUAGUAAAAUACACACGCUUAAAGGCAAAUUGUUUAACGAAAUUGGGUCGAUAUUUGCUAAAAAAUGCCAAAAUAUUGGUUGGAGAGAGAGAGACACUUAGACACUAGACUUAAAAUAGUUUUCUCUUGGUUUUCUCUUAAUCUUCUUUACGGUUUUGUUUUCUCCAUAGCUGUAGAAAUUAGUUUGCUGCAAUUUUUUUGUUUUUCCAGCAUUUUCUUAGGUAGUUAAGUUAGUUAUUACUGUAGCUGAGGUUUAUUUGCAAGUUUAGCACUUUAAAAUUUGUUGUAAUCAAACUUUAGUCUUUAGUUUAAUGCUACUUCAGUUUACUUUCAUCCAUUAAAAAUCGCAUCUUAUCGUUCUGACUUAUUUACUUUGCUGCUAGUUGCUUAUAUUUCAACUCUUUCCAAAAAAAAAAUCACAUCUUUCAUCUUUUAUUUAAGUUUUAUGUCAAUGUCUUUCAUGUUUUCUUCUUUUUUGUUUGUUAGUUUAUAAAUGGUAAUGAGUAGCUAAAUAUUUAGGGGUUGGUUGAUGAAAAUGUUGGGUAAUUGAUUUUUGGGUUUGGGGACUAAAUUGAAAAAUUAGACUAAAUUAAAUAGACUUAAAAACUUAGGAUUAACGUCACUGAGGGAAAAUCAAGAUAAGUGAGAAAAGAGAAGAUCUUUUUUGGAACCAAAUCGAUAAACCCCGGGUUAGUUAGUGAGGUCAAGAGAUAAAACCAGACUAAUUUAUCUAAUUUGGUAAAGUUGAGGCUGAGAGGUAAAAUGGAGCCAAUUUAGGAGUAAUAGGAAUUUAGAUCCCUAAUUCAGAGGUCAACCAACCAUUCUUUAUUAUCAUAUUUACUCGUAUUUGAUAGUUGCAUAGUUUUCUUUCUUUAUAAUUUAGUCCUUUUCUAUUUUAGGUAAUUUGUUAGUUUUAAUCAACUUCAUUUAUGGUUUUUCAUGCUAUAGUGUAGAGCGAGUAAUUAUUUAGACUCUUUAAUUGAAUAUUUGUAGCUAGAAUUCACUUAAUCGCUGACUCAUUUGGAUUCGAUCCUCAGAGCACUCCUGUACCCCAUUGUUCUUUUAGUGUUGAUUUCUCUCGUAGUCUACGAGGACGACAAGAGACGGUCAAGUUGUUGACGCCAUUGUCAGGGAGUUGGUGCUAGAUUAAGUGAUUUUAGUUUUAUUGCAUGCCUUUAGGGAGAUAAGUAAUCAAAGCUUGAGAUAUAGAUACAACUCUUUUUUUUAUUCUUCGUUUGUUAUUUUAUUUGCAAAGUUUACUGAUUUUGUGAAUUUCUUUUACUUGCAAGAGGUAGUGUAUGCCUCAGACCCGUAACAAGAUAGUACCAUUCAAAUUGAAACUAGAAAGAAUCCUAACACACGUUCAAUGAGGACAAGUUUCAAGAGGAGCCCAACCUCCACUAGUAAACCCACCACUAGACAACCCUAGAGUAGAGGAACCACCACCAACACCAGACCAAAGGCUUGUUCGAAAAAAGUGUUUGAAAAACGCAGCAAAAAAUAAAUUUAGGAAAAAUAGAGUUUUAAUUUUUUUUUCAAAAUAGGAUCUUGGUUUUGAUAUCUAAAGUAAUAAAUUCUUAAUCAAAAUUGUACCUUCAUGAUUCGCCUAGGAUAAGCGCUUCGAUCGAGUAGUCUUCUCUUCUACCCUCAAGCUCACGUCUGUUAAGUGUGGGCUCACUUCAAAUUAGAAAAUUUUUCACAAGAAUUACCAGUGGGUUCAUUUUGCAAUUUCUCUAAAAUUUUGGAUCAAGUUGUAAAUCAAAAAAAUAUCUCUAGAAAUUUUCUAAAAUAAUCUCUUUAGAGAAUUUUCUCUCUACAACUUUCUCUUAAAUUCAAGUGUGUGUAAAAUAAUGACUCAAGUCUCUCUUUAUAUAGGGAGAGUUUAGAGAGUUCAACCAUGAUUAAACUUAAUCAAUUUAAUAUUAAAUUAUAAAAUACUAUUAAAAUAAGUAUUAAAUUAAAUUUAAUAUUAAACUAUUAAAAUAAUAUUUUUGUUGGAAUAAUUAAUCUGAAAUCAAAUUUGUUGGUAGAGUCUCAAUAUGAGUGUAACUCUUCCACUGCUUAACCACCGAACACCAACUGUCGUUAGCCACCAGAAUGCCACCGUCACAGCCAUGUCUGAUGAUGUAGGCAUGACACCUGUACGGCACCCUAAGCUAGUUCGGUUGCUAUAGGUUCGAUCCUGGUCAAUGACAACCUGACUAGUCUGGCCUAGCCAUUAGUUGGACUAUUAGCUCGAUUUCACAUAUCAAGCCCGGAUCGACAAAUUUUUGGGUCUUGGUAUCAAUUUUGGGCUCCCGGGCCCAAUCUACAAUCGAGGUCCAAUUUUCAAGUUUAAUAACCAAUUAGGCCAAUUUUCUGACUUGAAAAUUAAUUUCUAAAAAUAUCAUAUUAAUUUUAAUUAAUUUGAUUAAUUUAGUUUUACAUGAUGAAAAUUAAUUUUUCCAAAAAUCAUUUAGAUUUUUCAAGAAAAUUCUCUAAUUAAAUUAUCUAGUUGAACAAUUCUCACAACCACCUAAUUUAAUUCCACAUCGAAUAAAUCGACUUAGUUAAAUUAUUUCCAAAUGCAUAGAAUUUUCUUCUGAUUCAAAUGCAGUUCGAUUGAACUUUUGUUGAGCUAGCGAAACGACCAAUCGAACAUAUACAAAUAGGGUCUAGUAAUUGCAAUUAUGUCUAGAAGCAUUGUUCUGAUUAUUCACAAUUACUUAAUCAUGGAGUCAGCCCAUAAGAAUUACCAUGAUUGAAAACUCCUUAUUGUAUACUCUUUACGAAAACAAUUCAUCCAACUAUUUUGUCCAAUGACCUCGUCUUGUGUGUGUUACCAUUGUGUCUUCUUAAUGAUUAAUAUGAUCAUUGUCAAUAAAUGAAUGUGAUAAAUUUCUCAUUCGAGAACAAGCAACCCGUGGCCACAUCCCAUAUCAAUCCACACAAUGCCAAUGGGAAGAUAUAAUUAAGUCUUUAAUUGAGCUAUGAAUUCCACUGUUACUAUUAAAGCCAUACCAUACACAAGUCAUGUACCUAACAUACCAGCUAUGGGCUCGAUCAUCUUUAGAGCAAAAGCCUUCACUUAUAUCAAAACACAUGAGUUGCAUACGCAUGGUCAGUGACUAACCCAAGAUUUAGGUAAAUCACAUCAUGUGUAACACCCUAUACCUGGCCUGGUCGCCAAGCAUAGAUACGAGAUGCUACACCACCAUCUCGUCUCAUGUACAUCAAGUGAGAAACUAGAACCAAGCAAAAC
RNAcentral lists this long non-coding RNA (57892 nucleotides) under Gossypium barbadense (sea-island cotton). RNAcentral's name for it is "long non-coding RNA (GBAR_LNC006396)". The stretch from base 23177 to 23287 matches the Rfam family "Plant small nucleolar RNA R71". The record is from RNAcentral. Lineage: Eukaryota; Viridiplantae; Streptophyta; Magnoliopsida; Malvales; Malvaceae.